Molecule: long non-coding RNA, 51004 nt
Filed under: Capsicum annuum
Lineage: Eukaryota; Viridiplantae; Streptophyta; Magnoliopsida; Solanales; Solanaceae
Description: long non-coding RNA (CANN_LNC005477)
Source: RNAcentral
UUCAUCCUUUAGGUUAUAUCUUUUAAACUUAUCUUUAUAAUAAUAUGUAGGUUUUCUUAUUUCUGAUGUACUAGGUAUUAUAUUUUUAUUGUCUUUUUUAUCAAGAAAGUUUAUUUCCGUGUUUGUAUUUUCUAAGUUUUCUUUAUUAAUUACUUCUUGUUUUUCAUUAAAUUCUAGCUUUUCUAGAUUUGUUAAGAUUUCUGUAUAUGUUUCACUAUCUUCCGAAUCAUAAUUAUCUGUUUCUUCAGCAUCUACUGUAUUUCAUUAUUUUCUAAUUUUUCUUUAAAUUGAUUUAUCUCAAUUAAUAAUUUUUAUUUUUAUCUUUUUCUUCAUUUUCUUUCUAUCUUUUUUCAUACAGAUCUUUUAGAAUUUGUAGUUCUUUCUCUAAUUCAGCAAUCCUAUUAUUUUUAGUUUCUUCUAUUUUUCGUAUUUCUUCUGUAGUCUGUUGUUUUAUUUUAUCUAUUUUUUUCCUGUCUAUUUCUUCGUUUUCUUUUGUUAUUCUUACCAUGGCUGUUAAUUUAUCUUUCUAAUUUUAAUUCUUCUUUUUCUAACAUUAAAUAUAAAUGUUCACCUAUUUUGUUAUAUCUUCUUUCUAGAUUAGAAAAUACUAUUCUUAUCUCUAAUCCUUCAUGAUUUUUAUAUGUUUUUUAUCUGUUAUGAAUUUUUCUUUAUUCAUUUUAUCUACUUGAUAGUGUAUAGAUCAUGUUGAUAUAUGUAUUCUAGAUUAUCUAUUUGUGAUUUUAAAUAUUAUAUUUCUUCCUUUGGUGCUUUUAUUAAUUUUUGGCAUACUCCAACAAUCAUGUUAUAUUGUAGUCUUUCUUUUCUUAUUUUUAAUUUUUUUUCAUUUUUCAGAUAUUAUUUGUUUUAGUUCUUUAUAUUUUUGUGAUUUAUUAAUUUGUACAAUAUUUAUAAUAUUUUGGUGGAUACUGAAAUCUGAUUUUAUCAUAAUUAGGUGGUAUGUAUCUUAUUCUUCUAGAUUUCAAAUGAAUUAUUAAUUUUGCCUCAUUGCUAAAUAUUAAGGUAAUUAAGUAAGCUAAUCUGUGGGGUUUUCUUUUGUUUUAUUUAAUUUCUUAUAUUCUCGGUAGUAACUAGUUAAAAUUCUUUUAAUUUCUCUAAAAGCUUGUGUAUUUUUCAACGGUCUUCUCAUAUUUAACAAAUAAAUAAAAACAUAGUUAACAAGAUAACGUAAUUAAUAAGCUACAGUAGAUGCUGAAGAAACAGAUAAUUGUGAUUCAGAAGAUAGUGAAACAUAUACAAAAAUCUUAACAAAUAUAGAAAAACUAGAAAUUAAUGAAAAACAAAGAAGUAAUUAAUAAAUAAAACUUAGAAAAUACAAACACGGAAAUAAACACUCUUGAUAAAAAAAGACGAUGAAAAUAUAAUACCUAGUACAUCAGAAAUAAGAAAACCUACAUAUUCUUAUAAAGAUAAGUUUAAAAGAUAUAACCUAAAGGAUAAAUAUAAUAAGUGGACACCAAAACAAAUAAUUAAUAAAAAUUUUAACUUCUUAGACUUAGAUUGUGUAAUGAUGUAGAUAAAACGAUACAUUUAUGGAUAGGAUAUAUAACAAAAAAAUUAUUAGACAAUGGUAUGAAUGCAACAGAUACACCAGAAUAUAUAGAAAGAACACUAAUAGGAACAACAAAAUUAUGUUUUUUAAAUUUAACUAAAAAUAGUAAAAAGGUAUUAAGGGCUGAUAAAAAAUGGAAGGAACAACAACAACUAAACUAACACCUAUAGACAUAUUAAAAAUAUAUGAAAUAGCUAUAAAAGAUGAAUUUAGUAGUAUGGCAACAGAAGAAGAUUAAAACAAAGAAAAAGAUACAAAUAGGAAUUUAAUGUUAAAACUAGCAAUAUGUAAUAUGUGUUAUAUAGAUGAGUAUACGUGUGCAUUUAAAGAAUACUACUAUAAGGGAACAUACAAUACAAAAGAAAGUAAAGAUUAUAUUUUAGUAAACUACCAGUAGUUCAAAAAUAAUAAAGAGUUGGGAUGAAACAAAAAUAGUAGAUACCCUAGGAGCAAGAAUAAAAUUUCUACAACAAUGAUAUAGAAAUCUGUGUGAAAAAUACAGAGAAUAAAUAAAAAUGAAAAAAAAAACAUUAAUAAUGAAUUUAGCAUGUUGCAAGGAUAAAAUAGCACCCCAAUUUGGAUCUGAAGAAAAAUAUUAUAAGAAAAGGAAAAGAUAUAAGAAAUAUAAAAAGUACAGAAAGUCGAAAUAUAAAUAUAAGAAACCAAGAAAAAGAUAUUAUGUAAAAAAUUAUAAAUAUAAAAGACCAUGAAGGAGAAAGAAAUCUAUAAAAUAAUGUACUUGUUAUAAUUGUGGAAAACUAGGACAUUUAACUAGAGAUUGUAAAAUGCCUAAAGAUCCAAAAAAGAAACAAAUAUCAGAAAUAAAGCUAGAAAAUGCAUAAUAUAUGCAAAUAGAUUAUAUAGAUUAUGAGUUAGAAAGUGACGAUAGUAUAUAUGAAAUUUUGAUAAAUGAAACAAAUAAUGAAAUAGAUAGUAAAUUAGAUGAAUCAAAUGACUAAAACAGAUAUAAAAAUAAUAACAAAGGAAGAAUAUUUAAAUGAAGAAGGAACAGAUCAGAAAAUAAUAUUUGAUAAUAAUAUAUUUGACGAGAUAAAAGGAAAAGAAUUAGAUUUAAAUUUAGAAAAAUAUAUUUAAAAUACCAACAAUAAAAAACAUAUUUAGUAGACGAAAAGAAGAAUACUACGUAAUAAGCCAAAAGGAACAUGUAAUUGACUGUAAAUAUGUAAAAGGUAGAGCUAGUAUACCACUAGUAACAAAGAGAAUAAUUAAUAAAGAAAUAAACGGUAUAAAAAGUAAAGACCCAAUAAAAUACGUACACCUUGGAGGAACGAAAAUAUUAAUAAAAGCAUGUUUUAGAGAAGGAAUAGAUACACCAAUAGAAUUAUAUUUAGCAGAUGAUAGAAUUAUAAAACCUAUAGAAAAAAGUAUAGUAACUGCUGUAAGAGGGAAUCUAAUACCAAAAAUUUAAAUUUUUAAUAAGUGCAAAUUAUUCAGUAGCAACGACAGAUAAAAAUAUAGAUAAGUCAUUAGUGCUAUAUUGGAAAAUAUCAGGAAUAGAACUAACCCCAGGAAGUAAAAUAUUUACAGCAAAAUGUAAAAAUCUAUAUGUAUUAACAACAAAACAUAAAAUAACGGGAAGAAAUAAAAUUAAUAAAAUUCAAAUAGAAAGUCUUUUUGAACAAUUUGUAAAAACAAUUGAUAACAAUGAUUAUAGUUACAAAGACAUAGAUAUAGAAAAAGAUUUAGAAAUAAUAAAUGAUAGAAUAAAUACAACAAAAAGAAUACCAUUUGAAGAAACAGAAUCAUCAGGAUCAUCGAAAAGAUUAUGAAAUAACUUCAACAGUAAAUUUAACUCAAUAUUUUAUAACGGGAACAAUAAAUGAAAAAGAAUAUUUAAUACUCCUAAAUACAGGAUAGGAAGAAAACCAUAUAGCAAAAUACCUAGUGAAAAAUGAAGAAAUAAAAUCNNNNNNNNNNNNNNNNNNNNNNNNNNNNNNNNNNNNNNNNNNNNNNNNNNNNNNNNNNNNNNNNNNNNNNNNNNNNNNNNNNNNNNNNNNNNNNNNNNNNNNNNNNNNNNNNNNNNNNNNNNNNNNNNNNNNNNNNNNNNNNNNNNNNNNNNNNNNNNNNNNNNNNNNNNNNNNNNNNNNNNNNNNNNNNNNNNNNNNNNNNNNNNNNNNNNNNNNNNNNNNNNNNNNNNNNNNNNNNNNNNNNNNNNNNNNNNNNNNNNNNNNNNNNNNNNNNNNNNNNNNNNNNNNNNNNNNNNNNNNNNNNNNNNNNNNNNNNNNNNNNNNNNNNNNNNNNNNNNNNNNNNNNNNNNNNNNNNNNNNNNNNNNNNNNNNNNNNNNNNNNNNNNNNNNNNNNNNNNNNNNNNNNNNNNNNNNNNNNNNNNNNNNNNNNNNNNNNNNNNNNNNNNNNNNNNNNNNNNNNNNNNNNNNNNNNNNNNNNNNNNNNNNNNNNNNNNNNNNNNNNNNNNNNNNNNNNNNNNNNNNNNNNNNNNNNNNNNNNNNNNNNNNNNNNNNNNNNNNNNNNNNNNNNNNNNNNNNNNNNNNNNNNNNNNNNNNNNNNNNNNNNNNNNNNNNNNNNNNNNNNNNNNNNNNNNNNNNNNNNNNNNNNNNNNNNNNNNNNNNNNNNNNNNNNNNNNNNNNNNNNNNNNNNNNNNNNNNNNNNNNNNNNNNNNNNNNNNNNNNNNNNNNNNNNNNNNNNNNNNNNNNNNNNNNNNNNNNNNNNNNNNNNNNNNNNNNNNNNNNNNNNNNNNNNNNNNNNNNNNNNNNNNNNNNNNNNNNNNNNNNNNNNNNNNNNNNNNNNNNNNNNNNNNNNNNNNNNNNNNNNNNNNNNNNNNNNNNNNNUGCAAAAACUAUGACAUAUAAUUAUCCAAUACCAAAUAAGAUAAUAAAAAUAAGACAGAUACAAGUAUAUAACUAUUUUAGUAAGUUCGAUUGUAAAUAAGGAUUCUAACAUUUAAAGCUAGAAGAAGAAUCUAAAAUAUUAACUGCAUUUACAGUACCACAAGGAUUUUACGAAUGGAAUGUAUUACCAUUUGGAUAUAAAAAUGCACUAGGUAGAUACCCACACUUUAUGGAUAGUAAUUUUAAAUAACUACCUAAUUGUAUAAUAUACAUAGAUGAUAUACUAUUAUAUAGCAAAACUAAAGAGGAACAUUUAAAAUUACUAGAACAAUUUGCAGGUAUAAUAGAAAAUUCAGGAUUAAGUUUAAGUGAAAAGAAAGAAGAAAUUAUGAAAAAUCAGAUAGAGUUUUUAGGAAUACAAAUAGAUAAAAGUGGAGUAAAAAUGCAACAACAUAUAGUACAAAAAAUAAUAAAUUCAAAAGAAGAAUUAGAUACAAAAAAAGAAAUUACAAUCAUUUUUAGGAUUAGCAAACCAAGUAAGAGAAUAUAUACCAAAAUUAGCAAAAAACCUAAAGUCAUUACAGAAAAAAUAUAAAAAGGAUGUAGAUAUUAAUUACAACAAAAAAGAUAAAAAAACAAGUUCAGAAAAUAAAACUACUUUGUAAAGAAUUACCAAGAUUAUAAUUUCCAGAAGAAAAUUAAAAAUUUACAUAUAUAGUAGAAGCAGAUGCAAGUGAAUAUACUUAUGGAGGAGUACUUAAGUAUAGAUAUGAAGAAGAAAAAUUAGAACAUCACUGUAGAUACUACUAAGGAACGUUUAAUGAAACAUAAAUAAAAUGGGAAAUAAAUAUAAAAGAAUUAUGUUCAUUAUAUGAAUGUUUAUUAGCAUUUGAGCCAUAUAUUGUAUAUAACAAAUUUAUUGUACUAACAGAUAAUACACAGGUACGAUGGUGGUUAACAAGAAAAAUACAAAAUUCAGUUACAACGAAGGAAAUUCGGAGGUUAGCAUUGAAUAUAUUAAAUUUGACUUUUACAAUUGAAGUAAUCAGUACUGACAAAAAUGUUAUUGCAGAUUACAUAUCAAGACAAAUCUACACAGACUGAUAUAAUAGAAGAUGAUGCUUUAGAAAAGAUACUCAAAACCCUAACUACACUUUCACUUAAAAUGGACAGUAUGGGUAAUGAAAUAGAAAAGCUAAAAACUAAUGAAGUUAAACUGAAGUCUGAAGCUAUGACUCAGAUAACUCAGCAGUGUGCAGAGCUAUGUCGAUCGNNNNNNNNNNNNNNNNNNNNNNNNNNNNNNNNNNNNNNNNNNNNNNNNNNNNNNNNNNNNNNNNNNNNNNNNNNNNNNNNNNNNNNNNNNNNNUUUAUCAAUCUACAACUGCAGGUACAAGCAAAGGAGUUAGUGGACAAAGAUAUCAGAACAUGAACAUGAACAAGAUAUUUGAAAAACCAUUUAUACCAAAAACACAAAAAGACCCCUUGUUCAUACCCCCACAAACUACCAUAUAUCGAGAAAGUUUAAGCCAAGAUAAAAAAAGCCUAUAACCAUAUAACUCGAGCAUACAUAGAAAAUAUCCACAAAAUAUAGACUCACCUAAACCUUAGACCCAGAGCCACAAAUAUCCAAGAACUGAACACAGACUAUAUAACCAAAAAACUACAAGAUUACAACAAGUUAAUCGCAUUAUCAAAAACUAACCCAAAUUUAGUUAAAACCUGUUUCAGUUAUGGACUAUUAAAUACCAUAUAUACCCAAGAAGGAGAUGAGCUAAUAGUUAUACCAGAAUUAUAUAGUGCAUUCGCCACUUAUAAGAAAAUAACCAAAGGAAAUCUAUUUUUUAUAAAAUUUUAUACUGCACCAGCAGAGAUAUUAUAUAACGAAAUUAAACUAGUUAUACAAGUUGUAAAAAUAGGAUUAACCAGAGAUAUGAUUAUACCGAAAGAUAUUGUUCAACAGCCAGAGAUACCUAAAGUUGAGAUACCUAAUUUUUAUGCAAAUAAGCGAACUAUAGGAAUAGUUACAAUUAUUCAGGAACUAGCAAACAAUUAUCUGAAUGGAAAUCCCAUAUGGAGCUACUAUUCGAGAUACCAAUUAAUGAUCUAUUCAAAUUCAAGGGAGCUACGAUAGCCUGAUAUGGAAAAAGUUAAACAAUGGAUUAUGACAUUGCUCAAUCCAAAAAAAUAACCAUCGACAAGGGCAAUUAAAAGGGAAUUUAUUUUAGAAGAAUUAUUAACCAGAUAUUACAAAUUAAUAGGACACAAAUAUCCAAACCACCAAUGCUCAAAAUUCCAUGGAGAAAAUAAUGUGAUCCCUGAAGUUCAACUUGAAUAAAAGAAGAUAAGGACGUCAGCUGGAAGAUAAACAGAUAGCAAUGGAGCAAUGGAGAAAUAAAAAAGAACAAAGAAACAAGCUAUGAAAAUGACAUAACAAUGACAUAUGAAUAGUCUUUUUGACUUAAGAUACGUAAAUAAUUGUGUAACUUUAUUAGUCUUUACUAUUUUUGACUUUUUUUAAUUUUUUUUGGCACAUGCCAUUAUUUGUUUUUCACUUUUUUGACAAAUGUAAAGUUUGGACCAUUGUUAGUCUUUUACAUUUUUGACAGAUGUAAAGUUAAAAAUAGUGUAAAUAGUUUAUGCAUUUUCAUCUUUUAGGAUUAUAAAUAUGUAAGCCAUACGACAAUCUAAGGCAAGGACUUUCAUGUGUUGAAAGCAAGCCUUCUCUCUUGUACACAAAUUUUUUUGAAUAUUUAAUAAAAAUAGGUAUAUUUCUUAGGAAAAGCUAUGGAUGAGCAAAGCACAAAUUUAUAAAAUUUACUAGAACAGGUAUUUUCAUUUAUAAUUAUGAAUAGCUAAAUUCAUAAAUUCCUGACAAUCAUGAUAUAAUAAAAUAAGCUCAUGUUAGUUACUUUAGAGUAGAAUUAUUCAAAGAAUAGUAUGUUAAGAAGUUUAUUAGCAAAGUGAAAAAGGAGAAAAAUUUCCAAGAACUAUGCCAUCCUAAAGGUGAAACCGGUGAGGAAAAGAAUCCGUGAUAGGGGGUAACCAGAGUAGAGGCGUUGUUUAGGGAAAAAGUAUCCAAAUUAUCAUGCUAAUAGUGACCGAAAAAUAUGUUAUUUAAGAAUAAUCUAGUAUAUAGAGAUCUAAGAUGACCAUAUUUUGUUAUGUAUAUGAUUGGAGGGAAUAUUUUGAAGAUAGCAUCAUAUGAAGAAUGAAUAUUUACUUAUCUGAUGAGAUGAUAGAUAAAUUUAAAAUACUUGUUUGGUAUAUACUUAAGGAUAUAGAAAUAGCAGAUAUAAGAAAAAUUAUAUACGAAAAGGUAUUUCAUUUUAAUGAAGAGUUAUUAAGUUCUAUAGAAAACUUACACUUAUAUAAUGAUAGCUACUGCUCAUAUUUAGAUAGUUAUAAUUUAGAUGGAUAUUAUAAAAAUUAAAAAAUGAUAGAAUAUAUUAGAAGAGUUAGAGAAAAACAAAGUUGGUUAUAUGAAGAAAUUAAUUACAGAAAUCAGUUUAAAAGAGAAAAAAGACAAUUUGAAGAAAAAUUACUUAGAAUAAAAUUAACCUUACAAAAAGGAGAUACAAAUGAUAGUUUAUAUAAUACUAUAUAUGAACAACAAAUGUUAAUAAAUCACAUAGAUAACAUAAAAUUACAUAUCAAAUAUAGUACGAUUAGAAUAAGUUAUUACACGGAAUUUUGUAAAAUUACAACUAUUAUAGGAUAAAAUGAUAAACUACGAAUACUUAGAAUAUUGGAGACAAGAUAUAGAGCAAAUAAGAUUAACAGAAACCAUUAUGAAAAAGAAUCUACUUGACUACAUAAUAACUAAAAAUUCUGUAAUUAAUUUCUUCAUAUAGCCAACUUUGUUUUUCUCUAACUCUUCUAAUAUAUUCUAUCAUUUUUUAAUAUGUACAAUAUCCGUCUAAAUAAUAACUAUCUAAAUAUGAGCAGUAGCUAUCAUUAUAUAAGUGUAAGUUUUAUAUAGAACUUAAUAACUCUUCAUUAAAAUGAAAUACCUUUUCAACAACAACAAACAAUAACAACAAACCCAGUGUAUUCCCACAUAGUGAGGUCUGGGGAGGGUAAAAUAUAUGCAGUCCAUACCACUACUCCCGAGGAAGUAGCAACGCUGUUUUCAAUAGAAAUAACUUUUCGUAUAUAAUUUUUCUUAUAUCUACUAUUUCUAUAUAUUUAAGCAUAUACAAAACAAGUAUUUUAAAUUUAUCUAUCAUCUCAUCAGAUAAUUAAAUAUCCAUUCUUCAUAUGAUGCUAUUUUCAAAAUAUUCCCUCCAAUCAUAUACAUAAAAAUAUGAUCAUCUUAGAUCACUAUAUACUAGAUUAUUCUUAAAUAACAUGUCCUUCGGUCACUAUUAUCAUGGUAAUCUGUAUAUUUUUUCCCUGAACAGUGCCUCUACUCUGGUUACUCCCCUAUCACAAUUUCUUUGCCUCACCGGUUUCACCUUUAGGAUGACAUAGUUCUUAGAAAUUUUUCUCCUUUUCCGCUUUGCUAAUAAACUUCUUAACAUGCUAUUCUUAGAAUAAUUCUACUAUAAAUUAACUAACAUAAGCUUAUUUUAUUGUAUCAUGAUUGUCAGGAAUUUAUGAAUUUAGAUAUUCAUAAUUAUAAAUGAAAAUACAUGUUCUGGUAGAUUUGAUAAAUCUGUGUUUUGCUCAUCCAUAGCUUUUCCUUAGAAAUAUAUCUGUUUUUAUUAAAUAUUCAAAAGUUUCUGUGUACAAGAGAGAAGGCUUGCUUUCAACACAUGAAAGUCUUGCCUUAGAUUGUUGUAUGACUUACAUAUUUAUAAUCCUAAAAGAUGAAAACGCGUAAACUAUUUACACUAUUUCUAACUUUACAUCUGUCAAAAAAGUAAAAAACUAACAAUGGUCCUAACUUUACAUUUGUCAAAAAGGUGAAAAACUAAUAAUGGCAAGUGCCAAAAAAACUAAAAAAAGUCAAAAAUAGUAAAGACUAAUAAUGUUACACAAUUAUUUACGUAUCUUAAGUCAAAAAGACUAUUCAUAUGUCAUGUCAUUUAAUAUAUUCAACGCUAAUCUCUGAAUUUCCUUCGUUGUAACUGAAUUUUGUAUUUUUCUUGUUAACCACCAUCGUACCUUUGUAUUAUCUGUUCGUAUAAUAAAUUUGUUAUAUACAAUAUAUGGAUCAAAUGCUAAUAAACACUUAUAUAAUGAACAUAAUUUUUUUCUAUUUAUUUUCCAUUUUAUUUCUGUUUCAUUAAACAUUUCUGAGUAGUAUCUACAAUGAUGUGCUAAUUUUUCUUCUUUAUAUCUAUAUUUAAGUACUCUUCCAUAAUUAUAUUCACUUGCAUCUGCUUCUACUAUAUACCUAGGGCUAAGCUUUCCCCUCUUCCCAAACCUCAUCACACCCUUCAUGGGUGAAACUCGAAGGAAAACACAAUCACCAACACCAAAACUAAGACACGAAGUCUACGAUCAUCAUAAUACUUCUGCCUACUUAAGAACGCUCUAAGUCUAUCCUGAAUGAUCUGGACCCUAUCCAAAGACUCACGAUGCAAGUUCGUACCUUGAGGUCUCACCUCUGAAACAUCAAACCAACCUACUAGAGAGCGACAACGCCUACCAUACAAUGCCUCAAAAGGAUCCAUAUCAAUACUGGAAUGGUAGCUAUUAAUAUGUGCAAACUAUGCUAAAGCUAAAUGCUGCUCCCAUUGGCCACCAAAAUCCAUCACGCACGAGUGGAGCAUACUUCAAAACAUUGAUAGUCCAUUCUGAAUGGCCAUCAAUCUGGCGUGAAACACUGAACUAAGAUCCACUCGAGUACCUAACUCAUCCUGAAAAGUCUUUCAAAAGUGAGAUGUGAACACAAGACCUCGAUCUGAAAUAAUGGACACCGGCACACUAUGCAGACGCAUAAUCUCACGAAUGUAGAUACGGGUCAACCUCUCAGCACUAAAUGAGACUUAAAUUGGAAUAAAAUGAGCUGACUUGGUCGAUCGAUCUACGAUGACCCAAACACUGUCAGAACCAUGAGAUGUAUACGGCAAACCAGUCUCAAAGUCUAUAGUGAUGUGUUCCCACUUCCACUCAGGAAUAGGUAACCUCUGAAGUAAACCACCAAAUCUCAUAUGCUCGGCCUUCACCUGCUGACAACAUAGGCAACGAGACACAAAAUCUGCUAUAUCUAGCCUCAUGCCACCCCACCAGUAGUGUUGUCUGAAAUCACGAUACAUCUUAGUCACACCUGGAUGGAUGGAAUAUCUAGAACAAUGGGCCUCCUCCAAGAUCAACCUAAUUUGAUCACCACUCUCGGCAUACAAACUCAGCCCUCAAUCCUCAAAACUUAAUCUAAAUUAGGUGAGGCUUCCUUAGACUUUCCACUCAAUAUCUUAUCUCGAAUCAAUCUCAACCCAACAUCAUCAAAUUAAUGAGCUCAAAUCUGCUCCAACAAAGAGGGUCUAUCAUCCACAAGUGCCAAAACAUGCCCUGGUGUUGAAAUAUCAAGCCUGACCAUCAGAUUAGCUAAAGGCUAAACCUCCAAGGCCAACGACCUCUCCUGAGUCAAAAGAUGCACCAAGCUACCCAUGCUAGCUGACUUCUAGCUCAAGGUAUCCACAAGCACAUUAGCCUUUCCCUAAUGGUAGAAAAUAGUCAAUUCAUAAUCCUUAAGCAACUCAAGCCAACGAUGCUGUAUCCUAAGAAGAUCUCAUUGAUAAAGAAGUACAAAAGGCUAUGAUGAUCUGAGAAGAUCUCACAAUGGAAUCCAUUCAAGUAGUGCCUCCAAAACUUCAAGGCAAACACAACUGCGCACAAUUCCAAAUCAUAUGUAGGAUAAUUUCUCUCAUGAGGAUUCAAUUGACGAGAUGCAUAAGAAAUUACCUUACCCUUCUGCAUCAACACACACCUAACCCAACACCUGAAGUAUCACAAAAGACAGUAAAGCCCACGCCCUCCUUAGGCAAACCUAAUAUAGGAGCUGAAGUCAAUAAAUCCUUGAGCUUCAGGAAGCUCGCCUCACAAGCUUCGGACCACUGAAAAUAAAUCUUCUUCUGGGUCAACUUGGUCAAUGGAGCUGCAAUGGAUGAAAAACCAUCAACAAAACAUCGAUAAUACUCAACCAAGCCAAUAAAACUCCGAAUCUCGAUGGGCGAAGUAGGUUUAUCCCAAAUCACGAACCGCUGCAACCUUAGCUGAAUCACCAUAAUACCUUCCUUAGUCACCACAUGACCCAAGAAAGAAAAUAGACACCAACCAAAACUCACACUUAGAGAACUUAGCAAACAACUUCUCGUCCCUCAAUCUCUAAAGCACAAUCUAUAAAUGCUCCUCUUGCUCAGCCCCACUCUUGGAAUAAACCAAGAUAUCUUCUAUAAAUACCAUAAUAAAAGAGCUAAUAUACGUUCAAAACACUUAUUCAUCAACUCCAUGAAUGAGGCAGGGGAAUCGGUCAACCCAAAAGACAUGAUCAAGAACUUAUAAUGACCAUAUCGAGUCCAAAAAGCUAUUUUUGGAAUAUCCAAAGCUCUAAUCCUCAACUAGUGAUAACCGAACCAUAACUCAAUCUUCGAAAACACCACAACGCCCCAAAACUGAUCAAAUAAAUCAUCAAUGCGAGGAAGAGGAUACUUAUUCUUAACCAUCACCUUGUUCAACUGCGAUAAUCAAUACAUAUCUUCAUAGACCCAUCCUUUUUCUUUACAUACAAGACAGAUGCACCCCAAGGUGAAAUACUAGGUCGAAUAAAUCCCUUAUCUAACAACUCUUAUAACUGAUCCUUCAGUUUCUUUCAACUCUGUUAGGGCCAUCCUAUAAGAAGAAAUAGAAAUAGGCUCGGUGCCCGACUUAACAUCAAUAAUAAAAUCAAUAUCUCAAUUCGAAGGCAUACUAGAAAAGUCCGUAGGGAACACUUCCAUAAACUCACAGGCAACACGGACAGAAUCCAAGAAAGGAAGCGAAACAACACUUACGUCACGAAUAUGGGCCAAGUAAGAUAAACAUCCCUUCUCAACCAAUUUAUGAGCCUGAACAUAAGAUAUAACCCUCUUAGGACCUGAAUUAAGUGUACCCUUUCCAAGCUAUCCUUGUCACACCAACUAAAGCAGUCAUAGUCCUAGCAAAAUAAUAUAAGACAACUUGAUAAGGAGCCAAACAAUCCAUAUCCAAACUAACAUCAAAAUUGACCAUAUCUAACACAAGCAAGUGUACCAAAUUUUCAUGUCCGACAAAAGUCAUAACACAAGAUCGGUACACCCGAUCCACCACUAAAGAAUCACCUACCGAGGUAGAUACAUCAAUAGGCAUGGUAAGAGGCUUCCUAAAAGAAUCAAAACCAGAAGAAAAAUAUAUAGACACAUAGAAGAAAGUUGAUCCAGGAUCAAAUAAUAAUAUGCAGGUCUGAAACAAACGGAACGGUAUCUGCGAUCACAGCAUCUGAAGUGUUCGCCUCAUAUCUGACUGAUAUAGCAUAGCACUAUCCAUGACUACCAUCUGGCUCAGUGGCCCCAUACCACCAACACGGGCUCUACUAUCUCUACCUCUAGCAUUUUUGGUAGAAUACCCACCUCUCACAAUUGAAAUAAGGUUAUCUCUAAAUGCAUGGCAAGUACAGUCCUUGGCCACAUGGCCAAUCUCAUCACAUACAUAACAACCUCUGCGACUAGUCUUAAUAGGAGAAGGUACAACUAGGCCUGAAUGGCUACCCUGAACUGCUGGACUAGAAAGUCCACCAUAUGAACUCUGUAAUGCUGCCUGUACUGGCCUACCAUAGUAUCCAUGAGAACCUCUAAAAUUUCUGCCUCAAGAGGUCUAAAUCCUGAACUCACCAAAAUAUCGCGCCUUCUUGGCGCCUCCCUGAGAUGCACUAAGAAUAUCCUCUGUCAUCUUAGUAUGAUCCACAAUACUCUAAAAAGAAGCCCCAAACACAACUAUAUGAAAUAUAGCCAACAAAAGAAAGACAACCUAACCCUUCACAAACUUUUGAAUCUUCUCAAACUCGGUGGAAAUAUUAUCUUAGAAAUAUCAAGAUAGGGUAUGGAAGCAUGCCUUACACUCAAAAACUGUCAUGGAGCCCUGCUCCAAAUUAUCAAACUCAUCCCACAUAUGAUCUCUCAAACUAAAAGGCACAAAUCUCUCCAGAAAGGCAUCAACAAACUGAUCCCAUGACAACUCAGGAGCAUUAACAAGCCUACAACUAACAAAUGAUAUCCAAUAAUCUCUCGCUGUAUCUCUCAACUGAUAAGAGAUAUAAGCAACUCCAUUUACGUAGAAAGAGUGAAACACAACUCAGAAUACAGGGUAUGAAAAAAUUUCACACGAUAAAGAAUGAAACGAGGGAAUUUUCCUAAAGACAUCCUAUAACCUCUCGAAGAUAGAUACGGACGUCUACGUACUGAUUUGCGAGACUCUAUUAGACAUCCCAUUCUUACACCAUUAAGACCAAUGAAACCUGGCUGCUCUGAUACCAAUUUAUCAUGACCCAAAAAUGAGGGUCAUGAUGACACUUGUAACAGCAUACCUUGACAAGUAAGCCUAUCACCCAAACUAAUACGAAUAGAGAAAAGGACAGAAAUACCCAAGGUAAGGCUUCUAGAAUAAAGCCAAACCAUAUAAAUAGUUAUAACAAUGCGGAAAGAACUUAUCCAAAACAUCAAUCAUGCCCAAAACUAGGUGUAAAAAGUGUAAGAACUACUAAUACAAUCCAAGAGUCAAAUAUAUCAAAAAAAUAACCAUAAAGGAAUAAUAACUAUCUCCGAGCACUAAUAAAGACAUAACUAAUAUAGAAAGAUAGAGGUGAACUUCGGAUGCAUGAAUGUCCAACCGCUACCUUGGAAGCUCUAACAACCGCCCGAAUCAAGUAAGCUGAGGUACACUUGAGCUAGGACCUGUACUGAAAGGGCGCAGUAGGCAUGAGUACGGUCCACUUGUACUCAGUAGGUAUCAUAGGCCGACUAAGCAAAGUAGUAAAUAAAGCAUACAAAAUAUACACUAAGGGCACGUCACCUGCAAUAAGAAAAUAUUCCACAACGGUAGCCCACACCGCUUGCACUAACAGUUCUAAUAUAUCUCACAUAUAUUGCAAAAAUACAUCAAGAUAUAGAACACAAGUAUAGAUUAUGUCAUAUAUAAAAUAGAGCAAGAGAGAACAUGUAGAUACAAGAUCAUCAAAUACAAGUAAAGAAAGGUAAGAUAAAUACAUAGAUGACAAGUCAAUAAGGCAAUACAACACAACAUAAACACAAUAAAUUAAGUAUAAUAUAUAUGAUAAUGAUGAUGAUUAUGCACGAGGUUUUCGCACAACCUCUGGGAUCGUCGCACAAUCCCCGUAUACACCUAUGGAGCCAAAGCUUCCCCACGUAGGACCCAUGGCUGGUUCGUCAACCCAUAUAAAAUCCAUAUAUCUCAUAUCUCCUUUCUGGCACAUUCCUCGAAAAGGGUUUUAUAAGGUGUUAUAAUAUUUUUAAAAAGGUGUUGCCAGUGUUUCUCAGAUGUUGCCAUGGUGGUACCAAUGUUUUAUGAAUGAGUUUGAUAUGAAGAUGUAAUGAUCACAACCAAUCACAAUAAGUAUUUUCACAACCAACCACAAUGAUACAUUUCCACAACCACAUGAGCCAAUAUUCACUCGUUAUUUUCAUUUCAUCCAUGAAUUUCCACGUCUUAUAUGCCAGUAAAGUAUGAAUAUAAUCACAAUACACCCAUGGUACCACAUUAAAAAAUACAAUACAAUUAAUCACAUGUAUUCAUGGCUAUCAAUGUCACAUAGGACCCCACACAGUUAAACAUAUCACAUGAUAUUUCAAUUUCGAUAAUUACAUCACAUAUAGGCUACCACACGGGCACAACAUGUAGAUAGACAUUUUUCAUGAUUAUUUCCCACCCUUAACAUGCAUUUUAUACCAUCAUUUACUACCCAUCUCAGUCUGAAGAGUUAAUCCAUAACCUACCUCGGAAGCCGAAACCGGCCCGCUACACUUGAACCCGCACGACCUUACUUUUCAUGAACAAUCCUGAAAUCUACUAAAAACAUCAAAUAUAAAAUAAAAUCUAUGCAUCAAAAUAAAACCAAUGACACCCAUAUUGACUACUUUUGGGUCGGGGUCAAAACGGACCCCCAAAAUAGGUUUCCAAAAAAGAAGGGAAAAAUUGGAACUUUACUUCAAAAAUAUGUUCCCCAUAUUUUUAGGAACCUACAUCUAAAAAUUCAAGUUAAAUAUUUUGGGAAUUCAAAUCGAUAUUAAAUCUAAAAGAUUUAAAAUUAUAAAAAAUAUUCUAACACACUAAAAUCGAUAUUCCGAAUCUGCUGGAGAAGUCGGAUUUUCCAUCCGAGGUCGUUUCAAUCAAAUAUGGGUCCUAUACCCAUAUUUCAAAUUUUCUAACUUUUCGAUCAAUAGGUCGAAAUGAGCUCAGGUGAACCAGGACCCGAACCAAAGAUCUACUUAGCCUAAAAUCAAUAUUCCGGAGCUGCUAGUACAGUCCAUUCGAUCAUCCAUCGUACGGAUCAAAUUAUAACCACAUAAGUCCAAAAUAAGGCUCUCGAAGCCAUCAAAAACAACAAUAUUGCAUAACUGAUACAAAAGUGCAUCAAAAAUCAUGUCAACCACUCCCACACCCCAAAAAUACCAUAAUGCAACUACGGGGAGGGGUAGAACAGUCAAAUCACAUAAAAUCACAAAUUUCACAUAUUUCAUCAAACUUUUAGGUCGUUACAUGUACAAUAUUUAUAAUAUUUUGGUGGAUACCGAAAUCUGAUUUUAUUAUAAUUAGGUGAUAUGUAUAUUAUUCUUCUAGAUUUCAAAUAAAUUAUUAAUUUUGCUUCAUUGCUAGAUAUUAAGGUAAUUAAGUAAGCUAAUAUGUGGGGGGUUUCUUUUGUUUUAUUUAACUUCUUAUAUUCUGCGUAGUAACUAGUUAAAUUUUUUUAAAUUUUUCUAAAAGCUUAUCUACUUUAAAACGGUCUUCUCAUACUUAACAAAUAAAUAACAACAUAGUUAACAAGAUAACAUAAUUAAUAAUAUUAACAAUUAAGUUAACAUUUCUCAUUAUUAACAUAUAUCUACUUGUAUAUUUUUUAAAUAACAUAGCUCUGAUACCAAUUGUAGUGGGGUGCGGAUAGUGUGGGUAACUUAACAUAGCUCUUGAAAUACUAUGUCAUAGCAUUUGUUUUAACUUUAUUAACUUUAUGAAUUAUUCGAAGAAUAGCAUGUUAAGAAGUUUAUUAGCAAAGUGGAAAAGGAGAAAAUUUUUCAAGAACUAUGCCAUCCUAAAGGUGAAAUCGGUGAGACAAAGAAGCCGUGAUAGGGGGUAACCAUAGUAGAGGCACUGUUUAGGGAAAAAGUAUCUAGAUUACCAUGCUAAUAGUGAUUGAAAAAUAUGUUAUUUAAGAAUAAUCUAGUAUAUAGUGAUCUAAGAUGACCAUAUUUUUUUAUGUAUACGAUUGGAGAGAAUAUUUUAAAAAUAGCAUCAUAUGAAGAAUGAAUAUUUACUUACCUGAUGAGAUAAUAGAUAAAUUUAAAAUACUUGUUUUGUAUAUACUUAAGGAUAUAGAAAUAGUAGAUAUAAGAAAAAUUAUAUACGAAAAGGUAUUUCAUUUUAAUGAAGAGUUAUUAAGUUCUAUAGAAACUUACACUUGUAUAAUGAUAGCUACUUCUCAUAUUUAGAUAGUUAUUAUUCAGACGGAUAUUAUACAGAUUAAAAAAUAAUAGAAUAUAUUAGAAGAGUUAGAGAAAAACAAAAUUGGCUAUAUGAAGAAAUUAAUUAUAAGAAUCAGCUUAAAAGAGAAAAAAGACAAUAGAAGAAAAAUUACUUAGAAUAAAAUUAACCUUAGAAAAAGGAGAUACAAGUAAUAGUUUAUAUAAUACUAUACAUGAACAACAAUGUUAAUGAAUCACAUAGAUAACAUAAAAUUACAUAUCAAAUAUAGUAUGAUUAGAAUAAGUUAUUAUACAUUAAUUUGUAAAAUUACAACUACUAUAGGAUAAAAUGAUAAACUACGAAUACUUAGAAUAUUGGAGACAAGAUAUGGAGGAAAUAAGAUUAAUAGAAACACUUAUGAAAAAGAAUCUACUUGACUACAUAAAAACUAAAAAUAUGUAUAGUGCGGGUAACUUAACAUAGCUCUUGAAAUACUAUGUCAUAGCAUUUGUUUUAUCUUUAUUAAUGUUUUAACUAUAUGUUCCAUAUUUCUGGUUUUUAUGUAGUCAAGUAGAUUCUUUUUCAUAAGUAUUUCUAUUAAUCUUAUUUGUUCCAUAUCUUGUCUCCAAUAUUCUAAAUAUUCGUAGUUUAUCAUUUUAUCCUAUAGUAGUUGUAAUUUUACAAAUUUCUGUGUAAUAACUUAUUCUAAUCGUACUAUAUUUGAUAUGUAAUUCUGUGUUAUCUAUGUGAUCCAUUAACAUUUGUUGUUUAUGUAUAGUAUUAUAUAAACUAUCAUUUGUAUCUUCUUUUUUUAAGGUUAAUUUUAUUCUAAGUAAUUGUUCUUCUAAUUGUCUUUUUUCUCUUUUAAGCUGAUUCAUGCAAUUAAUUUCUUCAUAUAGCCAACUUUAUUUUUCUCUAACUCUUCUAAUAUAUUCUAUCAUUUUUUAACCUAUAUAAUAUCUGUCUAAAUAAUAACUAUCUAAAUAUGAGUUGUAGCUAUCAUUAUAUAAGUGUAAGUUUUCUAUAGAACUUAAUAACUCUUCAUUAAAAUGAAAUACCUUUUUGUAUAUAAUUUUUUUUAUAUCUACUAUUUCUAUAUUCUUAAGUAUAUACAAAACAAGUAUUUUAAAUUUAUCUAUCAUCUCAUCAGAUAAGUAAAUAUUCAUUCUUCAUAUGAUGCUAUUUUUAAACUUCUUAACAUUCUAUUCUUCGAAUAAUUCUACUAUAAAUUAACUAACAUGAGCUUAUUUUAUUGUAUCAUGAUUGUCAGGAAUUUAUGAAUUUAGAUAUUCAUAAUUAUAAAUGAAAAUACUUGUUCUGGUAGAUUUGAUAAAUCUGUGUUUUGCUCAUCCAUAACUUUUCCUUAGAAAUAUAUCUGUUUUUAUUAAAUAUUCAAAAGUUUUUGUGUACAAGAGAGAAGGCUUGCUUUCAACACAUGAAAGUCUUGCCUUAGAUUGUCAUAUGGCUUACAUAUUUAUGAUCCUAAAAGAUGAAAACGCAUAAACAAUUUACACUAUUUCUAACUUUACAUCUGUCAAAAAAGUAAAAGACUAACAAUGGUCCUAACUUUACAUUUGUCAAAAAAGUGAAAAACAAAUAAUGGCAAGUGCCAAAAAAAAACGAAGAAAAGUCAAAAAUAGUAAAGACUAAUAAUGUUACACAAUUAUUUACAUAUCUUAAGUCAAAAAGAUUAUUCAUAUGUCAUGUCAUUUUCAUAGCUUGUUUCUUUGUUCUAUUUUAUUUCUCCAUUGCUCCGUUGCUAUCUUUCUAUCUUCCAGCCGGCGUACUUAUCUUCUUUUAUUCUAGUUGAACUUCAGGGAUCACAUUAUUUUCUCCAUGACAUUUUGAGCAUUGGUGGUUUGGGUAUUUGUGUCCUAUUAAUUUACAAUAUCUGAUUGAUAAUUCAUCUGAAAUAAAUUCCCUUUUAAUUGCCCUUGUAGAUGGUUGUAUUUCUAGAUUGAGUAAUGUCAUAAUCCAUUGUUUAACUUCUUCCAUAUCAAAAUGUCGUAGCUCCCUUGAAUUUGAAUAGAUCAUUAAUUGGUCUCUCGAAUAGUAGCUCCAUAUGGGAUUCCCAUUCAGAUAAUUAUUUGCUAGUUCUUGAAUAAUUGUAGUUAUUCCUAUAGUUUGCUUAUUUGUAUACAAAUCAGGCAUCUCAACUUUAGGUAUCUCUGGCUUUUGAACAAUAUCUUCCGAUAUAAUCAUAUCUCUAGUUAAUCCUAUUUUUACAACUUGUAUAACUAGUUUAAUUUCUUCAUAUAAUAUCUCUGCAGGUGCAGUAUAAAACUUUAUAAAAAAUAGAUUUCCUUUGGUUAUUUUCUUAUAAGUGGAGAAUGCUCUAUAUAAUUUUGGUAUAGCUGUUAGUUCAUCUCCUUCUUGGGUAUAUAUGGUAUUUAAUAGUCCAUAACUGAAACAGGUUUUAACUAAAUUUGGGUUAGUUUUUGGUAAUGCGAUUAACUUGUUGUAACCUUGUAGUUUUUUGGUUAUAUAGUCUGUGUUUGGUUCUUGGAUAUUUGUGGCUCUGGGUCUAAGGUUUAGGUGAGUGUAUUUUUUGGAUAUUUUCUAUGUAUGCUCGAGUUAUAUAGUUAUAGGCUUUUUUAUCUUGGUUUAAACAUUCUCGAUAUGUGGUAGUUUGUGGGGGUAUGAACAAGGGGUCUUUUUGUAUUUUUGGUAUAAAUGGCUUUUCAAAUAUCUUGUUCAUGUACAUGUUUUGAUAUCUUUGUCCACUAACUCAUUUAUGUGUACCUGCAGUUGUAGGUUGAUAAACAUUAUGGGUUUUAUAGAGUAUCCCAACGUCUCCUUUUAUCUCUGAAAUUUUAUUGUCUUUCGAUGCUCUGCACACUGCUGAGUUAUCUGAGUCAUAGCUUCAGACUUCAGUUUAACUUCAUUAGUCUUUAGUUUUUUUAUCUCAUUACCCAUACUAUCCACUUUAAGUGAAAGUGUAGUUAGGGUUUUGAGUAUCUUUUCUAAAGCAUCAUCUUCUAUUAUAUCAGUCUGUGUAGCGUUGUCUUGAUAAGUAAUCUGUAAUAACAUUUUUGUUAGUACUGAUUACUUCAAUUGUAAACGUAAAAUUUAAUAUAUCAAUGCUAAUCUCUGAAUUUCCUUCGUUGUAACUGAAUUUUGUAUUUUUCUUGUUAACCACCAUCGUACCUGCGUAUUAUCUAUUCGUACAAUAAAUUUUUUAUAUACAAUAUAUGGCUCAAAUUCCAAUAAACAUUUAUAUAAUGAACAUAAUUCUUUUGUAUUUAUUUUCCAUUUUAUUUAUGUUUCAUUAAACGUUCCUAAGUAGUAUUUACAAUGAUAUUUUAAUUUUUCUGCUUUAUAUCUAUAUUUAAGUACUCCUCCAUAAUUAUAUUUACUUGCAUCUGCUUCUACUAUAUAUGUAAAUUUUUUAUUUUUGUCUGGAAAUUGUAAUUUUGGUAACUCUUUACAAAGUAUUUUUAUUUUCUGUACUUGUUUUUUAUCUUUUUCGUUGUAAUUAUAUUCUACAUUCUUUUUAAAUCUUUUCUGUAAUGGUUUUAGGUUUUCUGCUAAUUUUAGUAUAUAUUCUCUUACUUGGUUUACUAAUCCUAAAAAUGAUUAUAAUUUUUUUUUUGUAUCUAGUUCUUCUUUUGAAUUUAUUAGUUUUUGUACUUUAUGUUGUUGCAUUUUUACUCCACUUUUAUCUGUUUGUAUUUAUAAAAACUCUAUCUGAUUUUCUAUAAUUUCAGCUUUUUUUCACUUAAACUUAUUCCUGAAUUUUCUAUUAUACCUGUAAAUUGUUCUAGUAAUUUUAAAUGUUCCUCUGUAGUUCUUGUAUAUAAUAAUAUAUCGUCUAUGUAUACUAUACAAUUAGGUAACUGUUUGAAAUAGUUAUCCAUAAAAUGUUGAUAUCUACCUGGUGCAUUUUUAUAUCCAAAUGGUAAUACAUUCCAUUCGUAAAAUCCUUGUGGUAUUGUAAAUGCAGUUAAUUUUUUAGAUUCUUUUUCUAUCUUUAAAUGGUAAAAUCCUGAUUUAUAAUCAAACUUACUAAAAUAGUUAUAUCCUUGUAUCUGUCGUAUUUUUAAUAUCUAAUUUGGCAUUGGAUAAUUAUAUGUCAUAGUUUUUGAUACCUCUACAAUUGGUAUCAAAGCUAUGUUAUUUAAAAAAAUGUACAAGUAGAUAUGUGUUAAUUAUAAAAAAUGUUAGAAAUGUUAACUUAAUUGUUAAUAUUAUUUAUUACGUUAUCUUGUAAACUAUGCUGUUAUUUAUUUGUUAAAUAUGAGAAGACCGUUUAAAAAUACAUAAGCUUUUAGAGAAAUUAAAAGAAUUUUAACUAGUUACUACCCAGAAUAUAAGAAGUUAAAUAAAACAAAAGAAAACCCCCACAAAUUAGCUUACUUAAUUACCUUAAUAUCUAGCAAUGAGGCAAAAUUAAUAAUUCAUUUGAAAUCUAGAAGAAUAAGAUACAUACCACCUAAUUAUGAUAAAAUCAAAUUUCGGUAUCCGCCAAAAUAUUAUAAAUAUUGUACAAAUGAAUAAAUCACAAAAAUAUAAAGAAUUAAAACAAAUAACAUUUGAAAAAUGAAAAGCAUUAAAAAUAAGAAAAGAAAGACUACAAUAUAACAUGAUUGUUGGAGUAUGCCAAAAAUCAAUAAAAGUACAAAAGAAAAAAUAUCAUAUUUAGAAUCACAAAUAGAUAAUCUAGAAUACAAAUAUAAACAUGAUCUAUACAAUAUCAAGUAGAUAAAAUGAACAAAGAAGAAUUUAUAAUAGAUGAAAAAACAUAUGAAAACCAUGAAGGAUUAAAAAUAAGAAUAGUGUUUUCCAAUUUAGGAAGAAGAUAUAAGAAAAUAGGUGAACAUUUAUAUUUAAUGUUAGAGAAAGAAGAAUUAAAAUUAGAAGAUAAAUUAACAGUCAUGGUAAGAAUAGCAAAAGAAAACAAAGAAAUAGACAGGAAAAAAGAAAUAGAUAAAAUAAAACAACAGACUACAGAAGAAAUACGAAAAAUAGAAGAAACUAAAAAUAAUAGGAUUGUUGAAUUAAAGAAAGAACUACAAAUGUUAAAAGAUCUGUAUGAAAAAAGACAAAGAAAAAAAAGAAAAAGAUAAAGAACAAAAAUUAUUAAUUGAGAUAAAUCAAUUUAAAGAAAAAUUAGAAAAUAAAGAAUUAGAAACUAAUGAAAUAGAAAUAAAUACAGUAGAUGCUGAAGAAACAGAUAAUUAUGAUUCAGAAGAUAGUGAAACAUAUACAGAAAUCUUAAUAAAUAUAGAAAAGCUAGAAAUUAAUGAAAAACAAGAAGUAAUGAUUAAAGAAAACUUAGAAAAUACAAACACGGAAAUAAACAUUCUUGAUAAAAAAAAGACGAUGAAAAUAUAAUACCUAGUACAUCAGAAAUAAGAAAACCUACAUAUUAUUAUAAAGAUAAGUUUAAAAGAUAUAACCUAAAGGAUGAAUAUAACAAAUGGACACCAAAAAAUAAAUAAUUAAUAAAAAUUAUAACUUCUUAGACUUAGAUUGUGUAAUAGAUGUAGAUAAAAUGAUACAAUUAUGGAUAGGAUAUAUAACAAAACAAUUAUUAGACAAUGGUAUAAAUGCAACAGAUACACCAGAAUAUAUAGAAAGAACACUAAUAGGAACAACAAAAUUAUGGUUUUUAAAUUUAACUAAAGAUAGUAAAAAGGUAUUACGACCUGAUAAAAAAAUAGAAGGAACAACAACAACUAAACUAACACCUAUAGACAUAUUUAAAAAAUAUGAAAUAGCUAUAAAAGAUGAAUUUAGCAGUAUGGCAACAGAAGAAGAAGAUCAAAACAAAGAAAAAGAUACAAAGAGGAAUUUAAUGUUAAAACUAGCAAUAUGUAAUAUGUGCUAUAUAGAUGAGUAUACGUGUGCAUUUGAAGAAUACUACUAUUACGGAACAUACAAUACAGAAGAUAGUAAAUAAGUAAGAAGAUUAUAUUUUAGUAAAUUACCUGAACCAUUUAGUUUAAAAAUAAUAAAGAGUUGGGAUGAAGCAAAAAUAGUAGAUACCCUAGGAGGAAAAAUAAAAUUUCUACAACAAUGGUAUAGAAAUCUAUGUGAAAAAUACAGAGAAGAAAUAAAAAUGGAAAAAACAUUAAUAAGGAAUUUAGCAUGUUGCAAGGAUAAAAUAGCACCCCAAUUUGGAUGUGAAGAAAAAUAUUAUAAGCAAGGGAAAAGGAAUAAGAAAUAUAAAAAGUACAGAAAGUCGAAAUAUAAAUAUUAGAAACCAAGAAAAAGAUAUUAUGUAAAAAAUUAUAAAUAUAAAAGACCAUAUAGGAGAAAGAAAUCUAUAAAAUAAUGUACUUGUUAUAAUUGUGGAAAACUAGGACAUUUAGCUAGAGAUUGUAAAAUGCCUAAAGACUCAUAAAAGAAACAAAUAUUAGAAAUAAAGAUAGAAAAUGCAUAAUAUAUGCAAAUAGAUUAUAUAGAUUACGAGUUAGAAGUGACGAUAGUAUAUAUGAAAUUUCAAAAAAUAAAAUAGAUAAUGAAAUAGAUGGUAAAUUAGAUGAAUCAAAUGACUGAAGAAGAUAUAAAAAUAAUAACAAAGGGAGAAUAUUUAAAUGAAGAAGGAACAUAUCAGAAAAUAAUAUUUGAUAAUAAUAUAUUUGACGAGAUAAAAGAAAAAGAAUUAGACUUAAGUGUAGAAAAAAUAUUUAAAAUACCAACAAUAUAAACAUAUUUAGUAGACGAAAAGAAGAAUACUAUGUAAUAAGCCAAAAAGAACAUGUAAUAGACUGUAGAUAUGCAAAAAGUAGAGCUAGUAUACCACUAGCAACAAAGAGAAUAAUUAAUAAAGAAAUAACUGAUAUAAAAAGUAAAGACCCAAUAAAAUACGUACACCUUGGAGGAACGGAAAUAUUAAUAAAAACAUGUUUUAGAGAAGGAAUAGGUACACCAAUAGAAUUAUAUUUAGCAGAUGAUAGAAUUAUAAAACCAAUAGAAAAAAGUAUAAUAACUGCUAUAAGAGGAAAUUUAAUAUACCAAAAAUUUAAAUUUAUAAUAAGUGUGAAUUAUUCAGUAGCAACAACAUAUAAAAACACAGAUAAGUCAUUAGUGCUAUAUUGGAAAAUAUCAGGAAUAGAACUAACCCCUGGAAGUAAAAUAUUUACAGCAAGAUGUUAAAAUCUAUAUGUAUUAACAACAAAACAUAAAAUAACGGGAAGAAAUAAAAUUAAUAAAAUACAAAUAGAAAGUCCUUUUGAAUAAUUUGUAAAAACAAUUGAUAAAAAUAAUUAUAGUUACAAAGACAUAGAUAUGGAAGAAGAUUGUAACGAUCCUUCCAAUAGUUUGUGAAAUUUUCUCAUUUUUACUGUCCCUGUAGUUUAUGUAAGUGAAUUUAUGACCCACGGGAUGAGUAAUAUGAAUUUUUGAGAUGUACGGAAAUUUUAUGUCAUUAUUUAAAUUAUUUUCUCGAGGUUUCAAUAAAUUUUGAUGAUCUAUUUAAAGCCUCGGGUAUUUUAAAUAAAGAAUUUAAUUAGAGAUUUAAUGGAUCAAAGUUUUAAUUUAUUAACUUAUAUGGUCAAUAUAAAAAUAAAACUAACUGAUCAGGGUUUACCAUUUAUAAUAAUAAUAAAGUCAGAUAUUUCGGGUAAGGAGAGAGGCACGCACUAGGGGUAGUUCUCCCUCACAAUGGCUGCAGGAGGGGUUAUCGAUAAUGUAGUGGUUGUGCGAACUACUGCUAAGGUGAGCCGUUCAUUGCUAUAUUAAAAUAAAUGGGUUGAAUUUUGUAUAAAUUAUAUCAAGAAUGGUGUGAACUUUUGAACAAUGCACGUGUGAGGGGUAGAUGUAGGAAUUAAUUUUUAAAUUAUCAAAUAUUACUUGUUUUAUAAUUAUUCUAAUCAUUAGAUUCAUAUUCUUAUGUAAAUUAUAUAUUGAAACAGAUUUUGAACAUUUCAAAACUUUAAGGAAAGGCAAGACAUUGGAAAAUUAGCUUGCAUUUGGAUUCUUCGGUUGAGGUAGGUUACGAUUUAAUUGGAGUUUAGACUCUAUUUAAUUGUGUGUAUGCUUCUAAAUUGGAUACUUGUGGAUUGGUAUUCGGACAGCUUGAAAUUGUUUAUGUUUGGAUUGUUGAUUUGUGUAUAAAUGUUUAUUGAAAAUUGACUUGAUGAAAUUGUCUUAUGACUUUAAGUGCACUUGUAACCUUGGUACAUUGUGUGGCAUGCUAUGAGGUUGUGUAAAUUGAUAUUGAUAAUACUUGAUUUUAUUUAUGUUGGAUCGGGUACUAUGCCAUACGUUUAUAUUUAUGUUGGAUUGGGUACCACGCCGGUACGUUUAUAUUUAUGUUGGAUCGGGGGUACGUUUAUAUUUAUGUUAGAUCAGGUACCACGCCGGUGCAUUUAUAUUUAAGUUGGAUCGGGUACCACGCUAGUACAUUUAUAUUUAUGUUGGAUCGGGUACCACGUCAGUACGAUACAUGAACAUAGAUUGUUCCCUGUAGGUCAUGACUAUUUGGGCAAAAAUAAGUCCCAUAGCAUGUGUGUACAUAUUAGUGUUGAUUAUGUGGAUGUUUACAGUAUGAUUGAUACUCUUGAUGGUUAUGCGGCUUGUUUAUGAGCAUUGUUUGACCUGUUGUUAUUGUAUUGUUGAUUCAUUGAAUAUUUAUUAUAUGACGAUGUCUGUCUACUUAUUAUUUUAUUUAUGUUGUGUAUAUGCUAUUAAAUUGAGUUGGCCUAUGAUGCCUACCAGUACAUAGUGGUUUGUACUGAUACUACCCUGUACUCUUCUUUUGUUGAGUGCAAAAAGCGUUCUGGAGGCUCAGACAUGACCUCACCUCUAGAGUUUGAUAGCAGAUCUUGAUCCAAGGGUGAGCACUCCAUCUCCAGGCUACCAUGGGUCAUCUUAUUUGUUCUUGUCCAUCUUUCAGACAACGAAACAUUCUUUAUUUACUUUAUUUUUGGAUAUAUUCUUAGAUAUGAUCUUGGUUAGUAGUUCUUGUAUGAUGACUUUCGGGUCUUGGGAAUUUCAGUAAGUAAAUUGUUUGGUUUCCUCGCUACAGAAGAUCAACUCCAGAUUAUUAUUGUUAAGAUGGUUUUAUGAAAAUAUCAUUUUAAUAUUGACUAAGUGAUUGGGUAAUGGUUUGAUUUAGAUGGUUCUCUCACAGGAAAGUUAAUGUGGGUGCCACUCAUGGUCAUUUGGGUCGUGAAAAGAUUUAGAAAUAAUAAAUGAUAGAAUAAGUACAAUAAAAAGAAUAUCUUUUGAAAAACUAGAAUCAUCAGGAUCAUCGAAAAGAACAAAUUAUGAAAUAACUUCAACAGUUAAUUUAACUCAAUAUUAUAUAACGGGACAAUAAAUAAAAAGAAUAUUUAAUACUCCUAAAUACAGGACAGGAAGAAAACCAUAUAGCAAAAUACCUAGUGAAAAAUGAAGAAAUAAAAUUUAAUAGUAAUAUGUGCCUAGAUCUACCAAGAAGCUUAAUAACUAUUAAAGAAACAACUGAAAAGGAAAUAAUAAUAGGAGUUAGAAAAAUAAAAAUAGAAUUUGAAAUAAAGGAAGAUAUACCAAAAGCAAACAUAGUAUUAGGAAUAAAAUGGUUAGAACAAGUAAAACCCUACAAUAUAGAACAUACACAAUUAACCAUAACCUAUAAUAGAGAAAAAUUGUUGAUAAAAAGAACAUUAACAUGAAAAUAUAUGUACUUAUGAAAAUAAUAGUAGAAGGAUAUUAUAAUAGAUAUUAUACACCUAUGAUAGAUACAGAAGUAGAAGCCAACUGAUGUGUGAGCAAAAGCUAACACAUUUAAUGCUUUUUACCUCAAAAUAAUCGUGAAUUCUGAAGCAACUCUUGUUGUUUUAAUGUGUUUCUCAUGAUAUUGCAGAAAAAGGCUGAAGAAAUGAGAAUAAACAAUAAUGGAGCAAAAGAGUUGAAAAUCUGAGCAAAAUAGAAGAAAACAUCGCUGACGACCUCCGUGAUAAGUCGCCAGCCUCGUGAUAGCCUAUCAGCAUUGGCGUCAGCCUUAACCAGGGAGUUGCAGUUUAAGGAGUUGUUCUGACGACGCUGAUGACGUAGCAUCAAAGUCGUGAUAAGGCGUCAAGAAUGGCGUCAACCUUAAGCAAAAAGUUAGCAUGGGAAGAAGAUAUUUGAUGACGUCGGUGAUGCGCCAUCAUAUCCCUGACGUGGCGUUAGCUAUAUCAUCAGCCUAAGAUAAAACCUGUAGGCAACUAAAGCCUCUCUAAUGCCAUCCGUGAUAGGGCGUCAACUUCUUGACGCAGCGUCAGCCUGGGCAUCACCUAUUCCAGAUAAUUUUAUUAAUUUUGUUAUUUUAUUUCCUUAAUUAGGCUUUAGUAUAAAUAGCAUCUUUUAGGGUUUUGAUUGAAUGAAUAAUUCAUCUAUCAGACAUCAACUCUAAGAGGAGAGACACGUAUUUUUGCUCUCUUUCAUAAAAUAUUCUUGUGUUUUUGUAUCAACUAUUUUUGGGGUUUCUACCUUGUGAUUAAAUCGGAGGAACUACUUGUUGUUUUCUACCCAUUUGUAAGUUUAUCAUUAUAAUCAUGAAUUCAACUUGUUAUUUCAUUCAUCAAGUCAUGGGAGACUAAUUUCAUUAGCCGGAGUUAUGGGAUCCAUGGAUUAGGGUUUGAUAUGAUACUAGGUGUUUAACGGAUUCAAAGAGUAGUAAAACAUCUUGAGAUUCUGUUGUUUUAACUAAAAUCAAGUGGUUGCAAACAUUAGGUUAUGCCUUAGGUUUUAUUUGCUUCUAAUGGAGAAAUAAACUGAGGACGUAAAUUAUCAAUAGGGACUUGAAAGCUACCAAUCUUUUGUUUAAUGAUUAAUGCCGUAACUGGAUUAAUCUACCUGAGAUAACAUCCUAUUGGAAAUAGAUAAGUUAUCUAAGUUUGAGAUAAUUAGAUAAUAAAUUGUCUGGUAAGAUCAAGAGAUAAGUCAGAUUGUAUAAUCGUCAGGGAUAUUCUGUUGUUCUACUCAUUCCGAGAAUCUCUAGCAUUACCUAGUAUUUGUCAAUUCCUGAAAUUCCUGGUGAACAUAACUCUGGUUUCCCACUUAUCUUGAUUACAAACACUAAAUUAUUAAAAGUGAUAUUUAACACACCGUGAACUUAAAUCCCCAUCUUUCGGAAGCAGCUACUAGUAAAAUCUUUCGUAAACAAAUCGAAGUACACACCCUAUUCCCUGUGGGAUUCGACCCCAACCUAGUUGGGUUUUAUAUUGACAACGAUCACUUACACCCAUUAAAGAGUGUAAUUUGAGCAUUAUCAAAAAUGGCAUCGUUGUCGGGGAAUACGGUUGUAGACCAAAAAUUUUGUAUGCAAAAAUUUGCUGAUAGUUAAGUUUCCGUGAUUUAUGUUUAUUUGUUGUUUUUGUUUAUUGUAGGUACUGUGUUAUUUAUGCCAAGCACGAGAAGUUCCGAAGAACCUCUAUUACCAAUCAAUCCAGAACCUCAACUAAUUGGGAGAAUGGCUGAACAACAGGAAGCAGAAAGAAUAGCUGCUUUAGCCAGGGCUCAGGUGAAUGUGCAAAAUUUGGGUCAACAAGCACAUCACCAAAACCCUGAUGAUGAAGACUUGGGUGAUGAGAAAUUGCUGAAUCCUCAAAACCCAAGGAGAGCUGAGCAAGUUGCUGCACCAGUGUAGCGAAACGUCAAUAGAAAUCGUCCAGUCUGAGGAAGGUAUGGUCAAAAGCCUAUGCAAUAUGAGGCUGAUGAAGAUGAUGAAGGAAUGGACGGAGCUGGUGCAACGGGUGCUAUCAUUCCGCCACCGUUGGCACCAAGUGCAAAGUUCAGCAUAACAAGUACCAUGAUCCAACUCUUGAAUCUAAAAGGGUUAUUUGGAGGCUUUCCUGGUGAUGAUCCAAACAUGCAUUUGGUGAACUUCAUCACCAUCUACAAAUCCUUUGACAAUCCGGGAGUGAGCUAGAAUGCAAUCAGGUUGAGGUUAUUUCCAUUAUCUCUGCCUGGAGAGGCAACAAUAUGGUUGAAUAAGUUAGAGCCUGACUCUAUAACUUACUAGAGAUAGUUGAAAGAUGCAUUCCUAGAAUGGUUCUUUCCACCCUCCAGAAGGGUACAGUUGAGGGACGAGAUUAGCAACUUCAAAUAACUUUUGACUGAAGUAUUGCAUGAGACUUGGGAAAGGUUUAAGAAGAAACUUGCACAAUGUUCGAACCACAAUAUGAAAGACUUGCACUUGAUGGAGACUUUGUACAGAGCUUUCAACUCUGUCACAAAGCCAAUUGUCAAUAACGCUGCAGGUGAUUCUUUCAUUGACCUCUCUUUUCUGGAUGCUUCUGAUAUACUGAAUAGAAUGACCAAACAGAGUCGGUCUUAGCAUACUAAGGAUUAUGUAAUGGCUAGCCCUACUAUUUCUGGUGGUAUUACUAUAGAUCAACGUAAAAGGAAUGAGGAGCGAAAUCAGUACAUGGCCCAUCUGAAGACGCAGAUGGACUUGCUAGCUAAGCACUUGCUAUUCGGCAAGACUGAAAUGGUCAAGGUUGUGGACUCUCAGGGUACUGUAUCUGCAGGUACUGAUGCUGAGGCAAACUAUGUGAGUAAUCAGGGGGGUUUCCGAGGUAAUAGCCAAGGGAACCAAGGUCGGACUUUCUAUGAUAAGCUUGAUUAUAAAGAUAGGAAGCAGGGACAUUGGAGAAACAAUAAUGACAAAAGUGGUUUGUAUAUUCCUCCUGGAAGUCGGGAUACUGCAACAACUAGUUCUAGCAAGAUGUCCAUAGAGGACAUGAUGGAAAAGCUGUUGAAGGGAGUAGAGGCAACCAACUCGGGGGUAACUAAUAUGAAAAGUGAGUUUUCUACCCUCAGUCAGUUGGUUAGCUCACACUCAACUUCUAUUAAGCAGUUGGAGCAGCAGAUGAGCCAACUUUCAGCUACUCUGAAUUAAAGAAAAGCUUGCACUUUACCUAGUGAUACGGUUCAGAACCUGCGGAAUGAUGGAUCUUGUAUGGAGAUUACCACUCGUAGUGGUAAGAUGUCAUCUGGCCCUUCUAUGGGCAAAGCUGUGGAGAAGGAGGUAAGUGCUGAUAAAUCGGAAGGAAACAAUCCAGUAGAGUCUGAGAAGCUGGAUGGCUUUAUUGAUAUGUCAGAGAAACAAGACAACAAGAAAGAGGAAGUGGUAUUGAAACAAAUGCCAAGAACACUACCUCCACUUCCUCAGAGGUUGAAAAACAAAGAAGAGAACGAAAAAUGUAGCAAGUUCAUGGCAAUAAUGAAAUAGCUGACUGUGAAUGUGCCAUUGAUGGAGACACUUGAGCAAACGCCGAACUAUGCUAAAUUUAUGAAGAAAUUGCUAACAAAGAAGCGGAAGGUAAGUUGUGAGCCGGUGGACAACAUCCAUCACUGUGGUACUGUGUCUUCACAAUCCUUAGUGUAGAAAAAGCCUGAUCCUAGAGCAUUUACCAUACCGUGCACAGUUGGGUCCAUAAAUUUUACCAAAGCUUUAUGUGACUUAGGAGCAAGUAUAAAUCUGAUGCCGCUUGAUAUCUAUAAGAAGCUUGAAUUGGGGGAGCCUACCCCCAUAACGAUGCAUCUAGAUCGGUUAAGCGACCGGUUGGUAUAUUGCAGGAUAUGCCGGUAAAGGUGGAUAAUUUUAUUCUGCCUGCAGACUUUGUGAUACUGGAUUGUGAUGUUGAUUUUAAGGUACCCAUCAUCUUGGGUAGACUAUUAUUAUCCAUGGGGAGAGUAUUGGUUGAUAUGGAGCUCAAUGAGCUUAAGUUCAGAUAUGGGAAAAAGGAGGCCAGAUUUAAAAUACAACCUCCUAUAAAGCAGUUAGAGAAGAUGAACAUCUUCUCAGUUGUGGAUGUAUUCCAGGAAUGUGGUAAUGAGGUAGUGAUACGGUAUCUAGACGAAGUCUGAGUAGUCGAGAUAACAAAGUCAUGCCGCGAUACUAAAUCAGGCGCUAUUGGGAGGCAACCCAAAAUUUUAUUUUCAUGCAUUUUAUUUUUAUUCAAUUAGGUAGUAAUAGGAAGGAACUGAAGGGGUACAAAAAGGUCAAGGUAGAAAUUGAAGAAUGCAAGUCAAGUGGUCUUGACGAUAUUCGUGAUAGGCUAUCACAACUGUGAUGGCUUAUCACCAACGUCGUCAGAAAGAUCAUAGGGUGAGACGUUCUCUGUUAAGGCUGAUGACCUCUGUGAUAAGCUAUCACAUUUCUGACGGAUUAUCACGAGUUGGCGUCAGCCAUUGUGUUAUUUCAAAAAAUCUGGGCCCAAUUCGAUCCAAAUCCAACCCGACCCAGGUGUAAAACCCUUCAGGUUCCCGCUUUAUUUUAUUUCCUUCUUUAAGUAUUAUUUUAUUUCCUUAGUAGGAUAUUUACUUCCUUUUAAAACACUCCCAAGUAUACAAGGAAAACUCCUUCCUGAUAGUUGUGGGAUUGCAAGGCAAAUCAGAGUCUAUCUCUCAUCUUUUCUUCUCUCUCGCAUAAUCAAGUGGAGUCAACUCAUCAGGUAUGCUCAUAACUUUGUUCUCCUGGCAUUGAAGUGGUAAAGUUGUUGAAAACAUAAAGCUCUAAAGGAAGAAACUUGAGUUCAAGUUGUAAUAGCAUGGAAAUCAGAAAUAGGGUUAAGUUGUGCCUAAAUUGCAAAAAUUUGAAAACCCUAAGUACAAAAAUAAAAAUACCAUGUGAUUAUAUGAAGAAUUUAGUCCCAAAAUUAUGAAUGCAAACUGAGUGGGAGGAAUUCUGAGCUGACGACGUUGCUGAUAGGCUAUCACAAGUGCGAUGCCUUAUCAUCUACAUUGUUAGCAACUUUGAAAAAUGGAGCAUUCACUGUUUAAGGCUGACGACAUAGCUGAUAGGUUAUCAUAAAUGUGAUGCCUUAUCAGCUACGUCAUCAUAAGUUAGAUGAUAAUACUAAGUGAACUUGAAUAGCUUGUUUUGACUGUUAUACCUUGAUCAUUAAUGGCACCUAAAAGCAAGAAUCCUAACACUCCAAAGAAAACUGCCAAGCCUAAAUUGGUUCGAAAGCUUAUUGAUAAAGACUCUGAUUAUGAAGAUGAAGAACCACUGCUCAGGUGGAGGAGAAAGAAACCCAGUCCAAAGGCACCUCCUUCACCUAAACCCAUUACGGUGGAGGAUAGUGUUGAUACUGAGACUACCACCCCAGCUGAGAGUGAAUCUUCUGAGCAAGAAGGUUCUAAGCAAACUGAGUCUGAACAGCCUGAUUCUGAGAAGGCUGAUUCUGAGGAAACAUUCUCUGAAACUCUCACGACUGAAAAUCAAGCUGAGAAGGAACCCCCAGUUCGGGGAACUUUGAAAAAUACAAGAAUCCGGAGGUUUGAGAGAGUGCUAGAUGGCAGAUCCCUAAAGCAGAAGACAUCUUCCUCAAAGGGUUGAUUAGAACAAAAAACAGAUCUACCAGACGGCUGGUGUUUCCAUAGAAGAGAGUCAUCAUCAUAGGAUUGCCUGGGUAUCCUGCAGUUGAGAAGAAAUUCAGAGAUUAUGGGCUGGGAUGGACUUCUAAGGGAGGUAAACCAUUUUGCUUUACAGUAGUUCGGGAGUUCUAUGCGAACUACCAGGAUUAGAGAGUAUGUGCAAGAGUGGAGAGACCACAACAGACCAACCUUUGCUGACCAGAGUUCCAGUUCAUGGGGUAAAUGUAGAUAUUUCUGAUACGACUAUCAACAGGUUUCUACAUGGACCCAACUUUAAUCCUCAGGUCACAAAUCUUGUAUUCUACCAUCGUCUGAAGAGUAAGGAUGACCAACAUCCUUGGUUAUCUACACUUAUAGCUGAGGGAGACCUUUUAUGGCUAACCCAACCUAGUGAGCGUAUUUACAAGGCUUCUUUGACUUAAGAGACAAAAUGAUGGUGGGGUGUUAUGCGCACCCAUUUGAUGCCGACCGACGGAGAUAAUAUUCUGGGUGAUGAUCGAGCAAUAUUGUUCGUAUGUCUUGUGGCUAAUCUUAAGCUGAAUUUCGAGGAGAUUAUUGCUGAAGAGAUUAAGAUUCGGGUAACGAGGUCUGACACAGAUUAUCCAUUCCCUUAUCUAAUUACCAGGUUAUGCACAGAGGCAGGGGUACCACAUAUUGCUGGGAUUGAUGAGACUUUGUAUACCACCAAGACCCCAAACCCUAUUCGCUAUGAGGAAAAUCAGCCAAGGCUGAUACUUGAUAGAGAGGUGAGGGUUGAGGUGAACCCAUCAGUUACAGGCCCUAGUUCAGUACCUGAAGUUGAGGUGCAAGCUUCUGAGGCUGCUUAGGCAGAGUUCCUGAUGAUGAGCCAGGUCCAUCAGUUCCUACAGCACCAGCGAAAGCUGCAUCCCAUCCUAUUGAUAUCAGAAAAAUGGCCAAACAGGCCAGAUGGUGUGAGACACAUCUACGUGCCUUUGCUGAGCAGUUUGCUGCUGCUGUAGAUAAAAGAAUCAAGGAUGCUCUUGAGCCCUUUGCUACUUUACCUACACGGGUUACAGAUCUAGAGAACCAUUUUGAUGCAAGGGCAUAGGAGCUGACUAGAGCAGAGCUUGCUGAAUUCAGAGUGGCCCUAGAACAGGUAAAAGCUAAGAUGGUGGUAGUACAAUAACACCAGUUUAUGAUGCCUACAGGGUAGACAGUUGAGGAAUCUGAGGAUGAACCUUCAAUCGUAGAUCUCACUACGAAGCUAGUGAAAAAGAAAAAAAAAAGAAAGACAGAAGCUGAAACAGGUAAGAAAAAGAGACAAGAAGAUGAUAAGAAUGAGAGCAAGGCUGAGAAAAAGGUAAAGAAGAAGAAUAAGGAAGAGAAAACACUGCAGACAGAUGAUGAGUUGACAGAACAGGAUAAAGUGGAUCUAAAAAGGGCAACACAAGCAUCCCGAGAGAAUAACUGGAAAUGAGAAGAAGCACUACAAGCGAGAGCUAUAGGAGCCUCAUCUAGCAGAACAACUGAACUGGAGCAAAGAAAAGCUCCUGAUGAGGAUAACACUGUUGUAGGGUCGAGGACCCAUGAUUUGAGACUUAAUUGACUCCAGGUAUAUCCUAACCCUUAGUUUCAUUUUGUUUUGAUUUUAAGUUGAGGGUGUAGGGUAGCAUGUUGUUGUAGCAUAUUCUGUAAAUAACUAGGAGUAGUGCAAGUUCUGUAGGCAGUUAAUUGAUUUUAUGAUUUUGAACACCUCUUCGAAGGUUUAAUUUGCAUGACUGUAUAAAUUGCACCUUAGUGUGACCACUGUGCAUCUCGUCAUGGCAUUAGUUUAGUUACCUGAUCAUCAUUGCUGAAUAAUCGCAUGAACCAGAAAGGCAGUAGCCAGUGAUAUUGCUUAUGUGCCAUGUGUUUGUGAGACUAUACCGAGUUCUCUUUGUAGUGUCAACUCUAGAACUCGCCCGGUUCGUCUUACCAUAGUUGACAAAUAGGGGUUAGGAAAGGAUCAUAGGCCGUUUUGGAUUAUAAGUCACUUUUAGCCUAAAUGACUUCCCUGAAUGUACAAAAUCCCAUGUUCCCUGUUUUGAGCCUUAAUUGACCAUUUUUAUUUCUAUGAUACCUAUCAUCUUCCCUUUUUAAAUCAUAAUGAACCUUUUUUAGCCCUGAUCCUCCUUGGACACUGUGUACCUUAACAUAGGCAAAUAGCCUAAGUUGAGGGUGGCUAUCAUAGGGGUGUGUGAUAUAAGUUGGGUAUGAAGAAAGGUAGAGUAGAAGAGAAAGAAUCAAAGAAAAAGAAUAAAAGGUUGGGUGUUGGUGAAAAAGAGCAAGAAAAGAAACUCUUCUUGAAUAAAAAAAAAGUGCACCCAUCCUUAAAGUGUGAUCAAGAAAAUAGAAAAAAGUGAAAAAAGGAGAAAAAGAGAAAAAGAAAAGAAAAGAAAAAGAGAGAAAAAAAGAGGUUAAUAAGUGGACCCCACAAGUUAAGGUAGUGCCAAGGACGUUAGUCACUCUAAAUGCCGUAUAAUAUCAUACCAGCCCUAGCCUACGUUACAAGCCGAAGAAAGAUCUAUAGUGAUCCUAGCGUACCUAUCUGGAAACCUUGGUAAUGACGAUAAGGGCAAGCAUAUAGUAUUUGGCAUACACUGGUUUGAACUUCAUUCUGAGAGUGAGUGUUUUUGUGAUGAUCCCCAUGUUUAUAUUUUUGAUGUCUGACAUGAGAAAAAGAGGGGAAUUUCUUUGUUGUAAGGGCACACUAGUAUCUUGCUAAGUUACUUACUUAUUUGGGUAGUGUACAUUGAUACAUGCAUGAUUGUUGGUACUUAGUUGAUGCCAUGGGUAGAAGCCUUUGUGUUACAUUGUUGCUUUUCAAUAAAUUGCACGGUAGUUUUAAGUUGGUUGACCUUGGAGAUAGUAAACUGAGUUUAGAGCUAAAUUGGUUGUUGACUGCUGAAUGUUCGUUGUAUUCUCUUAGUUAGUCGUUGCUUGAGGACAAACAAUUGUUUUAAGUUGAGGGUGUUGAUGUGUAAGCAAAAGAUAACACAUUUAAUGCUUUUAAGCUCAAAAUAAUUGUGAAUUCUGAAGCAACUCUUGUUGUUUUGAUGUGUUUGCUCAUGAUAUUACAGAAAAAGGCUAAAGAAAUGAGAAUAAACAAUAAUGGAGCAAAAGAGUUGAAAAUUUGAGCAAAAUAGAAGAAAACAUUGUUGACGACCUCUGUGAUAAGUCAUCAGCCUCAUGAUAGUCUAUCAGCAUUGGCGUCAGCCUUAACCAGGGAGUUACAGUUUGAGGAGCUGUUCUAACGACGCCGGUGAUGUGGCGUCAAAGUCGUGACAAGGCGUCAAGAAUGGCAUCAGCCUUAAGCAGAAAGUUAGCAUGGGAAGAAGAUAUCUGAUAACGUCAGCCACAUCGUCAGCCUAAGACAGAACCUGAAGGCAACUGAAGCCUCUCUGACGCCAUCCGUAAUAGGGCGUCAACUUCUUAACGCGGCGUCAGCCUGGGCGUCACCUAUUUCGGUUAAUUUUAUUAAUUUUGUUAUUUUAUUUCCUUAAUUAGGCUUUAGUAUAAAUAGCAUCUUUUAGGGUUUUUGAUUGAAUGAAUAAUUCAUCUAUCAGACAUCAACUCUAAGAGGAGAGACCCGUAUUUUUGCUCUCUUUCAUAAAAUAUUCUUGUGUUUUCGUAUCAACUAUUUUUGGGGUUUCUACCUUGUGAUUAAAUCGGAGGAACUACUUGUUGUUUUCUACCCAUUCGUAAGUUUAUCAUUAUAAUCAUGAAUUCAACUUGUUAUUUCGUUCAUCAAGUCAUGAAUGGCUAAUUUCAUUAGCCGGAGUUAUGGGAUCCAUGGAUUAGGAUUUGAUAUGAUACUAGGUGUUUAACGGAUUCAAAGAGUAGUAAAACAUCUUAAGAUUCUGUUGUUUUAACUAAAAUCUAAUGGUUGCAAACAUUAGGUUAUGCCUUAAGUUUUAUUUGCUUCAACGGAGAAAUAGACUAGAGGGCGAAAAUUAUCAACAGGAACUCGGAAGCUACCAACCUUCUGUUUAAUGAUUAAUGCUGUAAAUGGAUUAAUCUACCUGAGAUAACAUCCUAUUGGAAAUAGAUAAGUUAUCUAAGUUUGAGAGAAUAAGAUAAUAAAUUGUCUGGUGGGGUCGAGAGAUAAGUCAAAUAGUAUAAUCGUCAGGGAUAUUCUGAUGUUCUACUCAUUUCGAGAAUCUCUAGCAUUACCUAGUAUCUGUCAAUUCCCGAAACUCUUGGUGAACAUAGCUCUGGUUUCCCAUUUAUCUUCGUUACAAACACUGAAGUAUUGAAAGUGAUAUUUAACACACCGUAAACUUAAACCCCCAUCUUUCGGAAAUAGUAAACUACCAGUAAAAUCUUUCGUAAACAAAUCAAAGUUCAAACCCUAUUCCCUGUGGAAUUCGACCCCAACCUAGUUGGGUUUUAUAUUGACAACGAUCGCUUACACCCAUUCAAGAGUGUAAUUUGAGCGUUAUCACCAACUUAUGUUGAUAGAAUUAUUUACUAGAAGACAAAUGGGAUAAGCUUAAAAUACCAAUAGUAGUCAAAGGAUUUAAUAAUGAAGGAAGCUUAAUUUCCAAAAAGCUAGAAAUGUAAAAAUACAAGUAUGGGAUAAGAUAUUAACAAUAGAAGAGAUCUAUAAUUAUGAACUAAGAUCAAAAGAUAUGCUUUUAGCAAUGCCGUUUUUAGAUAAACUAUACCCACAUAUAAUAACUAAAACACACUGGUGGUUUACAACACCAUGUAAACAAAAGGUAAGAGCAAAAAGAGUUAAUAAUAAAAUAAGAAAGAAAACUGAUUGGAUAAAAGGAAGUGAAAAAAUCACACAAAAAUUAGAAAAUAUAAAAAAUACUGAAGACACAAUAGAACUAGUUAUAUUUUCAAUAAAUAAAGAAGAAAUAACUAUAUUUUCAAUAGAUAAGGUAUAAAUAAUAAAGAAAAAAAUUAAGACAACUAUACAGUGAAGAUCCAUUAAAAGGAUGGAAAAAACAUAAGACUACUGUAAAAAUUGAGCUAAUAGAUAAAAAUAUUAUAAUAACCCAAAAACCAUUAACAUAUAACUUUGAUGAUUUAAAAGAAUUCAAAAUGCAUAUAAAUGAAUUAUUAGAAAAAUAAUACAUACAAAAAAGUAAUAGUAAACAUAAUAGCCCAACAUUUAUAGUAAAAAACACAGUGAACAAAAAAGAGGAAAAAGUAGAAUGGUUAUUGAUUAUAGAAACCUAAAUGCAAAAACCAAGACAUAUAAUUAGCCAAUACCAAAUAAGAUAUUAAAAAUAAGACAGAUUCAAGGAUAUAACUAUUUUAAUAAGUUCGAUUGUAAAUCAGGAUUUUAUCAUUUAAAGCUAGAAGAAGAAUUUAAAAAAUUAACUGCAUUUACAGUACCACAAGGAUUUUACGAAUGGAAUGUAUUACCAUUUGGAUAUAAAAAUGCACCAGGUAGAUACCAACACUUUAUGGAUAGUUAUUUUAAACAAUUACCUAAUUGUAUAAUAUACAUAGAUGAUAUACUAUUAUAUACAAAAACUAAACAAACUUCAUGAUGUGUUUCAUGUGUCACUUCUUAAGUCAUUCAAGGGUGAGGUACCUACAACUCCACUUACUAUUCCACCAGUUGAAGAAGGAUGUGUUGUUCCCACCCCUUGCUCCAUGCGCAAAUCGCGUCUAAAUCGUGGUAAUUGGGAAAUUUUGGUGCAAUGGUGUGGCCAAUAUAUUGAGGACUCUAGUUGGGAGACAGUGCAUCAUUUCAAAUCUACCUUUCCAAACUUCAAGCUUGAGGACAAGUUUUUCUCCGGGAAGGGGAUAAUGUUAUUGAUGCUUUUGUCGGGAAAGAAUAUUCCAGGCGCAAGAAGUAAUAGGAUUAAUAGAACUGAUAAUGAUGUUUAUUUUCUGAAUUAUUUUGUUAGUAGAAUAGAACUUUCCUUAGUGGAUUAGAACUCUUGUUAAUUCAAUUUUAUAGGGCGUUUUCUAUUUCUAGUUUGUUAGGACUCUUUGCUACUGUAAACCUCUAUUUAAGAGAGUUGACAUUAUUAAUAAAAACAAGUUGGAUUUUAUCAGGAGAGUCGGAACUUUCUCAAACAAGUUCCCAGAUGAUACAAGCAUGAGGUGCACAAAACUGUACAAGGCAUUGUCAAAGGUUCAAACUUCGGAAUUGGCAAGUGUUUGGAUCAUUUUAAAGCCUUGUCAAGUGGAAGGAGGAGAAGGGAACCAUUACACUCGAGAGGCGCCUCACUUGAAGGACAAAAUGAACUUUGCACACGAUGAUUUGACACUUAAGAGGCGCCCCAUUUUAGGGCUAUUGUUUUCUUUUAAGACUCUCUUUUUACACUCCAAAGGAGCACCCUUCAUUAAGGGUAAUUUUGUCCUUGUUUGUAAUAAGUAUAAAUAGGCACCUUAGCUCUUAUUUUUUCUAAGUUUUGACAUAAUGAAUUGAGUGAAUUUUCAAAUUGUAAUAUUAGUGUUAGCUUGUAGUAUUCUCUUUCUCCUUAAGAGAGAGAAACUGAAUUAGGGUUAGAACAAUUGAUGGAUUUCACUUGUGUUGACAAAUUGGCAAGAAAGGUGGGUUUUGAGGAGUGUGAAUUCCUUUGGUCCACCUAAGAGAAAGGUUUGAGAUUCUAUUGGUGAGGUGUGAUUGAUGGUUUGAUACACCAUCUUUUGUUAAUCACUUGGUAGAAGUUAGGGUCUUUCUAUCUAUCUUUACGUUUAUACAAUCUUCUUUUCAUCCCCUUUCUUUUAUGUUGUUUUUGCUUGCUAAUUUUUGCAUUUUGUGUGUCCAUUUCGUGAAUUCCUAGUCUUCUCUUGUAUCAUUUGGUAUCAGAUCCUUGUUUAGGGUUGUUCCCCCAACUCUAAUCCUUGGUUUUAGUGUUCUUAUUAAGAAAAUCUCCACGAAAAAAGAGUCUAGAGUCAAAAAAUACAAAAAAAAAGGUGAUCUUGUGUGUUUAUAGUAGAUCCAAAUUUCACAACUUAGAUCUACUAAUUUUUAGUUUGUUUUGAUAGUUUCUAGUGUUAGAUUCGUAUUCUCUAACACUAAAAGUGUCUAGAUCUAUUUUAGAAUGAAAUUUGGUUGUUUUUGAGCUAGAUCCACCAUUUUUGUGCCUUAUUUGAAGCUUUUUAAAGGUGGAAACGUUUUGGGUUUGUGAUUUGGAUGAGUUUUGUGGCUGAUUUUCACAUAUUUGAGUUCACCUUGGCCUAAGGAACCUAGAUCUACUAAAAAAAUCCAAUUUUGGAGUUCAUUUGAUAGAGGGUCAAACUUUGGUCAACUCUUAAAUAUUCAUCUUGUUCUUCAAUCUUCAUCAUAUAUUGUUAGGGAAGAAUAUUCAAGAGGUGCAUUUGAUCCAAAAAGGUGGAGGAGAGAGGGUGUACUAGUUGUUAAAGGCAAUUUCCAAGAAGCUUCCUAGUCUUGCCAAAAGAAGAAAACAACAAAGACAAAAGGAAUCUUCAAAUACAAUUGAAAGUACAAGGGGGGACCAAUCCAUUUUGAAUUCAUUUGAAGCUCCAAAAGGGAUCCAAACCAUCAUUUUUCCCUCCCAAACGAAAUUUCUUUUUCUCCUAAGUGUGUUUGGCUGAAACAAGAAUUUGGAAUUGAAAAUUUUGAAAAGUGACGUCCAAUUACAAGCUGCCACAUUAUCACUUUGGUGACCAACCGAAUUGAGUUCUAAUUAGAUUUCUAAGUUUCUCUUUGUUUUUUCUAGUUGCUUUUGUGUUGAUUCUAUCACUAAUUAGCAAACUAGUAAGUACCUACUAGGUUGAUAAUUAGUCUUGAGUUCGUUUUAUUUGUGUCUUCGCUUUUUGUGUGCUCUUCUUAUUUUUAAGUCAUAGUCGUUUGUUGGUUCAAGUUUGUGCAUCAUUUUAUUUGAGUCUUAUCAAACAAAAAUCGAUUCCGAACCAAGGCAUAUUCACCACUCAAUUCACUUACCAAGUAUUGCCAAGUAUUCAACACUUGUGAGAACAAGUGUGAAGUGAGAUUCGAGUAUGAGUGUGUGAGGUUAUUUGAACUAACUUAUUUAUUUGUUUUGUAGGUUUUUGCCUUUGCUGUUUUUUGAUCUUUUAAGGUACCUUGACAAUGAAAGGAACAAUAUCAUCUACUCCGGAUAGUUAUAAUAUUUAUACUACCUCGAAUCCUUUUGAAAAUUUCCAUCGACACCUUGAAAGUCUACACCAAUUGAUGAUUGAAGCAUUCCAUCUAAGCCAAAUCACUAAUAACCAAGAUACUAGCAUUUUGCCUAGUAUCAAUUUUCCUUGUGUGCAGGUUCAAGAUAAUAUACUUCCACCGGAGGAUUCAAGGAGAGCUUCUCAAGAACACAUGGUUGUUGAUCAAAUGGAGCUCUUGGCUAAGAAUUCCAACUUUGGAAAAAAUGACAAAGAGGUGAUGCAAGGAAGAAUUCUUGACAAACUCCCUUGUAAUGAGAGCUUCCCAAAGGAAUAAAUGGGUUUCCAUGAUCCAAACCUAGGUUAAGGCCAUACCUCAUGUGAGCUAAAAGGUAACAAUGCUAUCUCCUACACUCUUAUAAACUUAGAAUGUCGUGAUGUGUCUAGUAGUAUCCAAAUGGAUGUAGUUGAUGGUUUGCUUGGAGGAGAAUCGCAUGAGUCUUCCUUUGUGAUACUCUUGGUAUUGUUAGAUUGCAUGAAUACCAAAUUCUUGAUAUAAGUUUGCAAGCACUAGUUGAUCCUAAAGAUGACAAAAUUGAUUCUUUUCGUAAGAUGAUUUGUGUCCAUCUAGUGCUAGCACUCAUGACUUGAAUAAGGUUCUAUUACUAAGUGACAAGAGUAUUCACACACUAGUUGACCCUUAUGAAAAUCGAGGAGAGUCUACAUUGGUAUGCGAGUUUCCAACAACUAGUGAGGAUGUGAAUGAUGAUCAAUUUACUCACGAAUAUAGCCCACUACUUGAGUUUAUAUAUGAUGUGCUUGAUGAGCCUCAAGUUAGUGUUAAUGUAUAUAAUGUUGAUCUUGAUAAUUAAUAUGGUCCCUUGAACUUCUUAUGUGGUGAUAACCUUGCUAUUAAUUGUGUUCUUGGUGAUCAUGUGUAUGGAGAGAUUGCGGAUGUUGAGGUGUAUGUUGUUAAGGGAAGCCUACUAAGUCGUAGGUCCUUAUCAUUGUGUACUAGUCUUCCCUUAAGAACAAAUGCUUUGGGUGAGUGUGAUACCCUAGUCGAUGGAAUGAGUAGCUUCGGUUUAGUCCCUUAGCCACUUCACCCAUUUGAUCCCAGUGUACUAGUUGGGAGGAAAAGGGAUUAUUUUGGCUUGUGCUUAUUUUCCUUUGAUGUUUGUCUUAUACCUAUCCUUUGUAAUGCUCAUAGUAGAUAUUUCAUGGUUAUAACAAAGGAUUGUUAGUUGUAUUUUAAAAGUGUACACCCUCGGCAUGAUGUCUUCACACUUGAUUGCUUUCUAUACUACCUCUUUAGCUAUGAUGAUAAGUAUGUUAAUUCUAAAUUUGUAUUGUGUAGAGGUAGGAAGUUUGGUGGCUGGUUUCCUUGUUUAAAUGAUAGUGAUGUGUGGGUGAGGUGGUUAGGAUCAAUAGUGGAACCAUAUUUGAUGACGUCCUUUGUAGAGGUAAUGAAACAAAUGUAUCUUAUGGUUCCUAAGCCAAAGGUAGUCUUACCUUUUGGGUAUAGUAAAGCCGUUAAGACCAUUGUAGUUUCCUUAUCUCUUGAUAUUUUCCAAAUCCACCUCCUGUAUUCCAUUCAUGCUAAGCUUCUCAUUUCACACACAAAGGACCCGUGGUUGUAUUUCAAAUGUGAAUAUCCUUGGAGUAUUGAAAUAUGUGAUGAUUUUGGGCUGCACUUUCCUCUCUUUGAUGCAUAUCUUAGUCAUGUACUUUGUGUUGCUUAUAGUAAGUGUUUUAUGAUUAUUACAAAGGAUUGUUGGCUAUAUUCUAAGAGUGUGCCCCCUUGGUGUGUUCAUAUAAUUUGGCACUAAUGCUAACCCUCCUACCAAGAGGAUUGUGUGCUUGUUUUUCUUCCCCCUUUGAUUUUAUAAGAUCUGAAUUUGAGGAAAUUCCUUCAAGAUGGAGAGUAUGAUACAAGCAUGAGGUGCACAAAAUUGUACAAGGCAUUGUCAAAGGUUCAAACUUCAGAAUUGGCAAGUGUUUGGAGCAUUUUAAAGCCUUGUCAAGUGGAAGGAGGAGAAGGGAACCAUUACACUCGAGAGACGCCUCACUUGAAGGACAAAAUGGACUUUGCACACUAUGACUUGACACUCAAGAAGCGCCCCAUUUUAGGGCUAUUGUUAUCUUUUAAGACUCCAUUUUUACACUCCAAAGGAGCACCCUUCAUUAAGGGUAAUUUUGUCCUUGUUUGUAAUAAUUAUAAAUAGGCACCUUAGCUCUUAUUUUCCCUAAGUUUUGACAUAAUGAAUUGAGUGAAUUUUCAGAUUGUAAUAUUAGUGUUAGCUUGUAGUAUUCUCCUUCUCCUUAAUAGAGAGAAACCGAAUUAGGGUUAGCACAAUUGAUNNNNNNNNNNNNNNNNNNNNNNNNNNNNNNNNNNNNNNNNNNNNNNNNNNNNNNNNNNNNNNNNNNNNNNNNNNNNNNNNNNNNNNNNNNNNNNNNUAUUGGUGAGGUGUGAUUGAUGGUUUGAUACACUAUCUUUUGUUAAUCACUUGGUAGAAGUAAGGGUCUUUCUAUCUAUCUUUACGUUAAUACAAUCUUCUUCUUCUUCCUCUUUCUUUUGUGUUGUUUUUUUUGGCUGAUUUUUGCAUCUUGUGUGUCCAUUUCGUGAAAUCCUAUUUGUCUCUUGUAUCACAAUUUCCAGACGAAAAUAAAAAUUAUAUAUAUAUAGUAGAAGCAGAUGCAAGUGAAUAUAGUUAUGGAGGAGUACUUAAGUAUAGAUAUGAAGAAAAAAAAUUAGAACAUCAUUGUAGAUACUACUCAGGAACGUUUAAUGAAACAGAAAUAAAAUGAGAAAUAAAUAGAAAAGAAUUAUGUUCAUUAUAUAAAUGUUAAUUAGCAUUUGAGCCAUAUAUUGUAUAUAACAAAAUUUAUUAUACGGACAGAUAAUACAUAGGUACGUUGGUGGUUAACAAAGAAAAUACAAAAUUCAGUUACAACGAAAGAGAUUUGGAGACUAGUAUUAAAUAUAUUAAAUUUUACAUUUACGAUUGAAGUAAUUAGUACUAAGAAAAAUUUUACUGCAGAUUACAUAUCAAGACAAAGCUACACAAACUGAUNNNNNNNNNNNNNNNNNNNNNNNNNNNNNNNNNNNNNNNNNNNNNNNNNNNNNNNNNNNNNNNNNNNNNNNNNNNNNNNNNNNNNNNNNNNNNNNNNNNNNNNNNNNNNNNNNNNNNNNNNNNNNNNNNNNNNNNNNNNNNNNNNNNNNNNNNNNNNNNNNNNNNNNNNNNNNNNNNNNNNNNNNNNNNNNNNNNNNNNNNNNNNNNNNNNNNNNNNNNNNNNNNNNNNNNNNNNNNNNNNNNNNNNNNNNNNNNNNNNNNNNNNNNNNNNNNNNNNNNNNNNNNNNNNNNNNNNNNNNNNNNNNNNNNNNNNNNNNNNNNNNNNNNNNNNNNNNNNNNNNNNNNNNNNNNNNNNNNNNNNNNNNNNNNNNNNNNNNNNNNNNNNNNNNNNNNNNNNNNNNNNNNNNNNNNNNNNNNNNNNNNNNNNNNNNNNNNNNNNNNNNNNNNNNNNNNNNNNNNNNNNNNNNNNNNNNNNNNNNNNNNNNNNNNNNNNNNNNNNNNNNNNNNNNNNNNNNNNNNNNNNNNNNNNNNNNNNNNNNNNNNNNNNNNNNNNNNNNNNNNNNNNNNNNNNNNNNNNNNNNNNNNNNNNNNNNNNNNNNNNNNNNNNNNNNNNNNNNNNNNNNNNNNNNNNNNNNNNNNNNNNNNNNNNNNNNGCCUCACUUGAAGGACAAAAUGGACUUUGCACACUAUGACUUGACACUCAAGAAGCGCCCCAUUUUAGGGCUAUUGUUAUCUUUUAAGACUCCAUUUUUACACUCCAAAGGAGCACCCUUCAUUAAGGGUAAUUUUGUCCUUGUUUGUAAUAAUUAUAAAUAGGCACCUUAGCUCUUAUUUUCCCUAAGUUUUGACAUAAUGAAUUGAGUGAAUUUUCAGAUUGUAAUAUUAGUGUUAGCUUGUAGUAUUCUCCUUCUCCUUAAUAGAGAGAAACCGAAUUAGGGUUAGCACAAUUGAUAGAUUUCACUUGUGUUGACAAAUUGGCAAGAAAGGUGGGUUUUGAGGAGUGUGAAUUUCCUUGGUCCACCUAAGAGGAAGGUUUGAACUUCUAUUGGUGAGGUGUGAUUGAUGGUUUGAUACACUAUCUUUUGUUAAUCACUUGGUAGAAGUAAGGGUCUUUCUAUCUAUCUUUACGUUAAUACAAUCUUCUUCUUCUUCCUCUUUCUUUUGUGUUGUUUUUUUUGGCUGAUUUUUGCAUCUUGUGUGUCCAUUUCGUGAAAUCCUAUUUGUCUCUUGUAUCACAAUUUCCAGACGAAAAUAAAAAUUAUAUAUAUAUAGUAGAAGCAGAUGCAAGUGAAUAUAGUUAUGGAGGAGUACUUAAGUAUAGAUAUGAAGAAAAAAAAUUAGAACAUCAUUGUAGAUACUACUCAGGAACGUUUAAUGAAACAGAAAUAAAAUGAGAAAUAAAUAGAAAAGAAUUAUGUUCAUUAUAUAAAUGUUAAUUAGAAUUUGAGUCAUAUAUUGUAUAUAACAAAUUUAUUGUACGAACAGAUAAUACACAGGUACGAUGGUAGUUAACAAGAAAAAUAUAAAAUUCAGUUACAACGAAGGAAAUUCGGAGAUUAGCAUUGAAUAUAUUAAAUUUUAUGUUUACAAUUGAAGUAAUCAGUACUAACAAAAAUGUUAUUGCAGAUUACAUAUCAAGACAAAGCUACAAAGACUGAUAUAAUAGAAGAUGAUGCUUUAGAAAAGAUACUCAAAACCCUAACUACACUUUAACUGAAAAUGGACAGUAUGGGUAAUGAAAUAGAAAAGCUACAGACUAAUGAAGUUAAACUGAAGUCUGAAGCUAUGACUCAGAUAACUCAGCAGCGUGUAGAGCUAUGUCGAUCAGAAGACAAUAAAAUUCCAGAGAUAAAAGGAGAUGCUGGGACACUCCAUAAAACCCAUAACAUUUUUCAAUCUAUAACUGCAGGUACAAGCAAAGGAGUUAGUGGACAAAGAUAUUAGAACAUGAACAUGAACAAGAUAUUUGAAAAAUCAUUUAUACCAAAAACACAAAAAGACCCCUUAUUCAUACCCCCACAAACUACCACAUAUCGAGAAAGUUUAAACCAAGAUAAAAAAAGCCUAUAACCAUAUAACUCAAGUAUACAUAGAAAAUAUCCACAAAAUACAGACUCACCUAAUAUUUAGACCCAAAGCCACAAAUAUCCAAGAACAAACACAGACUAUAUAACCCAAAAACUAUAAGUUUACAACAAGUUAAUCGCAUUACCAAAAACUAACCCAAAUUUAGUUAAAACCAAUUUUAGUUAUAGACUAUUAAAUACCAUAUAUAUCCAAGAAGGAGAUGAACUAACAGUUAUACCAGAAUUAUAUAGAGUAUUCGCCACAUAUAAGAAAAUAACCAAAGGAAAUCUAUUUUUUAUAAAGUUUUAUACAUCACCAGCAGAUAUAUUAUAUGACGAAAUUAAACCAGUCAUACAAGAUGUAAAAAUAGGAUUAACCAGAGAUAUGUUUAUAUCGAAAGAUAUUGUUCAACAGCUAGAGAUACCUAAAGUUGAGAUACCUGAUUUUUAUGCAAAUAAGAGAACUAUAGGAAUAGCUAUAAUUAUUCAAGAACUAGCAAAUAAUUAUAUCAAACUAUUCGAGAGACCAAUUAAUGAUCUAUUCAAAUUCAAGGGAGCUACGACAGUCUGAUAUUGAAGAAGUUAAAUAAUGGAUUAUGACAUUACUCUAACUAGAAAAACAACCAUCUACAAGGGUAAUUGAAAGGGAAUUUAUUUUAGAAUAAUUAUUAACCAGAUAUUGCAAAUUAAUAGGACACAAAUAUCCAGACCACUAAUGCUCAAAAUGCCACGGAGAAAAUAAUGUGAUCCCUGAAGUUCAACUAGAAUAAAGAAGAUAAGGAUGUCAGCUGGAAGAUAGAAAGAUAGCAACGGAGCAAUGGAGAAAUAAAAAAGAACAAAGAAACAAUCUAUGAAAAUGACAUGACAUAUGAAUAGUCUUUUUGACUUAAGAUACGUAAAUAAUUGUGUAACAUUAUUAGUCUUUACUAUUUUUGACUUUUCUUAAUUUUUUUUGGCACUUGCCAUUAUUUGUUUUUCACUUUUUUGACAAAUGUAAAGUUAGGACCAUUGUUAGUUUUUUACUUUUUUGGUAGAUAUAAAGUUAGAAAUAGUGUAAAUAGUUUAUGCAUUUUCAUAUUUUAGGAUUAUAAAUAUGUAAGCCAUACGGCAAUCUAAGCCAAGUCUUUCAUGUGUUGAAAGCGAGUCUUAUCUCUUGUACACAAAAACUUUUGAAUAUUUAAUAAAAUUAUAUAUAUUUCUACAGAAAAGAUAUGAAUGAGAAAAGCACGAAUUUAUUAAAUCUACCAGAACAAGUAUUUUCAUUUAUAAUUAUGAAUAGCUAAAUUCAUAAAUUCCUGACAAUCAUGAUAUAAUAAAAUAAGUUCAUGUUAGUUACUUUAUAGUAGAAUUAUUCGAAGAAUAGCAUGUUAAGAAGUUUAUUAGCAAAGUGGAAAAGGAGAUAGAUUCUCAAGAACUACGCCAUCCUAAAGGUGAAACCGGUGAGGAAAAGAAGCCGUGAUAGGGGGUAACCAGAGUAGAGGCAUUGUUUAGGAAAAAAGUAUCCAGAUUACCAUGCUAAUAGUGACCGAAGAAUAUGUUAUUUAAGAAUAAUCUAGUAUAUAGAGAUCUAAGAUGACCAUAUUUUAUUAUGUAUAUGAUUGGAGAGAAUAUUUUGAAGAUAGCAUCAUAUGAAGAAUGAAUAUUUACUUAUCUGAUGAAAUGAUAGAUAAAUUUAAAAUACUUGUUUGGUAUAUACUUAAGGAUAUAGAAAUAGUAGAUAUAAGAAAAAUUAUAUACGAAAAGGUAUUUCAUUUUAAUAAAGAGUUAUUAAGUUCUAUAGAAAACUUACACUUAUAUAAUGAUAGCUACUGCUCAUAUUUAGAUAGUUAUUAUUCAGACGGAUAUUAUACAGAUUAAAAAAUGAUAGAAUAUAUUAGAAGAGUUAGAGAAAAAUAAAGUUGGCUAUAUGAAGAAAUUAAUUACAGGAAUCAGUAAAAAAGAGAAAAAAGGCAAUUAAAAGAAAGAUUAUUUAGAAUGAAAUUAACCUUAGAAAAAGCAGAUACAAAUGAUAGUUUAUAUAAUAUUAUACAUGAACAACAAAUGUUAAUGAAUCACAUAGAUAACUUAGAAUCACAUAUUAGAUAUAGUAUGAUUAGAAUAAGUUAUUACACAGAAAUUUGUAAAAUUACAACUACUAUAGGAUAAAAUGAUAAACUACGAACGCUAUGUUAAGUUACCCGCACAAUCCGCACUCUCCUAAAAUAAAUUUUUGGUAUAUUAGAUUUCCUCUAACAGCAGUUAUUAUACUUUUUUCUAUUGAUUUUAUAAUUCUAUCAUCUGCUAAAUAUAAUUCUAUUGGUGUAUCUAUUCCUUCUCUAAAACAUGCUUUUAUUAACAUUUCUGUUCCUCCAAGGAGUACGUAUUUUAUUGGGUCUUUACUUUUUAUAUCUUUUAUUUCUUUAUUAAUUAUUCUCUUUGUUACUAGUGGUAUACUAGUUCUACCUUUUGCAUAUCUACAGUCUAUUACAUGUUCCUUUUGGCUUACUACGUAGUAUUCUUCUUUUCGUCUACUAAAUAUAUUUUUUAUUAUUGAUAUUUAAAAGAUUUUUUAUACACUUAAAUCUAAUUCUUUUCCUUUUAUCUCGUCAAAUAUAUUAUUAUCAAAUAUUAUUUUCUGAUCUGUUCCUUCUUCAUUUAAAUAUUCUUCCUUCGUUAUUAUUUUUAUAUCUUUCUCAGUCUUUUGAUUCAUUUGAUUUACUAUCUAUUUCAUUAUUUGUUUCAUUUUUCAAAAUUUCAUAUAUACUAUCGUCACAUUCUAACUCAUAAUCUAUAUUAUCUAUUUGUAUAUAUUCUGUAUUUUCUAUAUUUAUUUCUGAUAUUUAUUUCGUUUUUGGACUUUAGGUAUUUUACAAUCUCUAGCUAAAUGUCCUAGUUUUCCACAAUUAUAACAAGUACAUUCUUUUCUAGAUUUAUUUCUCCUAUAUGGUCUUUUAUAUUUAUAUUUUUUUACGUAGUAUCUUUUUCUUGAUUUCUUAUAUUUAUAUUUCGACUUUCUAUACUUUUUAUAUUUCUUAUGUCUUUUUCUUUCUUAUAAUAUUUUUCUUCACAUCCUAAUUGGGGUGCUAUUUUAUCCUUGCAACAUGCUAAAUUCUUUAUUAAUGUUUUUUCCAUUUUUAUUUCUUCUCUGUAUUUUUCACAUAGAUUUCUAUACUGUUGUUGUAGAAAUUUUAUACUUGCUCUUAGGGUAUCUACUAUUUUUGCUUCAUCCCAACUCUUUAUUAUUUUUGAACUAAAUGGUUCAGGUAGUUUACUAAAAUAUAAUCUUCUUACUUCUUUACUUUCUUUUGUAUUGUAUGUUCCCUUAUAGUAGUAUUCUUUAAAUGCACACGUAUAUUCAUCUAUAUAGCACAUAUUACAUAUUGCUAGUUUUAACAUUAAAUUCCUAUGUGUAUUUUUACCUUUGUUUUGAUCUUCUUCUUCUGUUGUCAUACUGCUAAAUUCAUCUUAUAUAGCUAUUUCAUAUUUUUUCAAUAUGUUUAUAGGUGUUAGUUUAGUUGUUGUUGUUCCUUCCAUUUUUUUAUCAGCCCUUAAUAACUUUUUACUAUCUUCAGUUAAAUUUAAAAAUCAUAAUUUUAUUGUUCCUAUUAGUGUUCUUUCUAUAUAUUUUGGUGUAUCUGUUGCAUUUAUACCAUUUUCUAAUAAUUGUUUUGUUAUAUAUCCUAUCCAUAAAUGUAUCGUUUUAUCUAUAUCUAUUACACAAUUUAAGUCUAAGAAGUUAUAAUUUUUAUUAAUUAUUUGUUUUGGUGUCCAUUUGUUAUAUUCAUCUUUUAGGUUAUAUCUUUUAAACUUAUCUUUAUAAUAAUAUGUAGGUUUUCUUAUUUCUGAUGUACUAGGUAUUAUAUUUUUAUUGUCUUUUUAAAUUCGUUUUGUUUGAGAAGCUGUGAUCGGAACUUCUUUUGCUUUGAACGACUCCGGUCCUAUUGAAUCUCUUGCCGCGGAUAGUCUCUUUGUAGUAGUAAUAGCGGGAGAGGGGAACUCUUUUGAAAGAAGAAAGGAUAUCAAGAGUGUUUAUUUCCGUGUUUGUAUUUUCUAAGUUUUCUUUAUUAAUUACUUCUUGUUUUUCAUUAAUUUCUAGCUUUUCUAUAUUUGUUAAGAUUUCUGUAUAUGUUUCAUUAUCUUCCAAAUCAUAAUUAUCUGUUUCUUCAGCAUCUAUUGUAUUUAUUUCUAUUUCAUUAGUUUCUAAUUCUUUAUUUCUAAUUUUUCUUUAAAUUGAUUUAUCUCAAUUAAUAAUUUUUGUUCUUUAUCUUUUUCUUCUUUUUCUUUCUGUCUUUUUUCACACAGAUCUUUUAGCAUUUGUAGUUCUUUCUCUAAUUCAGCAAUACUAUUAUUUUUAGUUUCUUCUAUUUUUCGUAUUUCUUUUGUAGUCUGUUGUUUUAUUUUAUCUAUUUCUUUUUUCCUGUCUAUUUCUUCAUUUUCUUUUGUUAUUCUUACCAUGGCUGUUAAUUUAUCUUCUAAUUUUAAUUUUUUUUCUAACAUUAAAUAUAAAUGUUUACCUAUUUUCUUAUAUCUUCUUCCUAGAUUAGAAAAUACUAUUCUUAUAUUUAAUCCUUCAUGAUUUUCAUAUGUUUUUUCAUCUAUUAUAAAUUCUUCUUUGUUCAUUUUAUCUACUUGAUAGUGUAUAGAUCAUGUUGAUAUAUGUAUUCUAAAUUAUCUAUUUGUGAUUCUAAAUAUUAUAUUUCUUCUUUUUGUGCUUUUAUUGAUUUUUGGCAUACUCCAACAAUCAUGUUAUAUUGUAGUCUUUCUUUUCUUAUUUUAAUUCUUUUCGUUUUUCAGAUAUUAUUUGUUUUAGUUCUUUAUAUUUUUGUGAUUUAUUCAUUUGUACAAUAUUUAUAAUAUUUUGGUGAUACCGAAAUCUGAUUUUAUCAUAAUUAGGUGGUACGUAUCUUAUUCUUCUAGAUUUCAAAUGAAUUAUUAAUUUUGACUCUUUGCUAGAUAUUAAGGUAAUUAAGUAAGUUAAUCUGUGGGGGUUUUCUUUUAUUUUAUUUAACUUCUUAUAUUCUGAGUAGUAACUAGUUAAAAUUCUUUUAAUUUCUCUAAAAGCUUGUGUAUUUUUAAACGAUCUUCUUAUAUUUAACAAAUAAAUAACAACAUAGUUAACAAGAUAACAUAAUUAAUAAUAUUAACAAUUAAGUUAACAUUUCUAACAUUUCUCAUAAUUAACACAUAUCUACUUGUACAUUUUUUAAAUAAUAUAGCUCUGAUACCAAUUGUAGGGAGUGCAGUGCGGGUAACUUAUGUUAGUUGUAGCAUUCUAUGUCAUAGCAUUUCUUAGUUAUUUAUUUUAACCUUAUUAAUUUUUCUAUAUUAUUUUUAAGGUAUAUUAUAUGUUUCAUAUUUCUAAUUUUUAUGUAGUCAAGUAGAUUCUUUUUCAUAAGUGUUUCUAUUAAUCUUAUUUGCUCCAUAUCUUGUCUCCAAUAUUCUAAGUAUUCGUAGUUUAUCAUUUUAUCCUGUAGUAGUUGUAACUUUACAAAUUUCUGUGUGAUAACUUAUUCUAAUCGUACUAUAUCUAAUAUGUAAUUUUAUGUUAUCUAUGUGAUUCAUUAA